RNAcentral lists this long non-coding RNA (54713 nucleotides) under Citrus maxima (pomelo). Its description in RNAcentral is "long non-coding RNA (CMAX_LNC000490)". The record is from RNAcentral. Lineage: Eukaryota; Viridiplantae; Streptophyta; Magnoliopsida; Sapindales; Rutaceae.
UGGGAAUUGCCAGCUGGCACAAAGCUAAACUUAUCUGAAAAAUUUGGGAUUGUCAUUAAGAAAAAAGAGCCUUUGGUUGCUAUUCCAACACCAAGACUAUCCAAUUCAGAGCUCUACCAUUAAGACAGAAUGAUUGUGAUGAUUUUGUUAGUAUCGGAAGAUUUGUAUGUUAUUUCAAGUUCAAUCGUAAUAAAAUAUUUUAAUAAAAGUCCUCCGUUGCUAAUUUUUUUUUUUCAACGGCAUAAUCUGUCAUCGUGCUUGUGUUUGGAGCUACUUUGGAAUGAUUAUUUUUGAAUUACAAUUUAUAAAUAUUUACGUUUUAAAUUUUUUAUAAGAGUCUAAAUUUAUACACGUUCAGUAAAAGAUUCCCUAAAAGCUUUACAAUUCAAAAUUCUAUUAAAAGUAUAGAUGAAACUUUUAUACCUACUAAUUUUUUGGUCUAUUCUACGAGUUUAAAGAGGAGAUAUUUCUAGAGUUAGCAAAAAGUGUUACAUGAUUGUUUUCGCGUAAUGUCAUUUUUUAUUGUGUUAAAUUUAGUUUGACUCAAAUAUGACCCAUUUAAUAAUCGUGUCAAAAUAUUGAAAUUUGAACUCAACACAGAAAAUAAAUGGGUGACCAGUCACACCCAUUUAAUAAUUAGGUAACCAUGUCACUUAAUACGACAUAACCCAAUAACUCGUUUAAUACAUAUUUAACAUAAUUUAUAUUGUACAUUGUACACCCUUUUGUCAUAAAUUACACUAUUUUAUAUUUCUAAAUAAUAUUAUAUAUUGAUAUUGUAUAAAAAAAAUCAAUAAUCUCAAAAUUUGUACACCUCCUAACUUUUAAAAAGAAAUAAAAAACUAAUUAAUUAAUGUUUAUUUUAUUCAUUAAUAUAUCAUAAUCCUACAUGUGUUUUAUUUGUUAUUUUUUUAUUUAAAAAGAUAGGAAGGUGGAUGAAACUCAAAUAAAUUUUUAGCCUAUCUUGAUCUUUCAAGUUUCUUAUUUAAGUGGCCAGCUAAAGAAAAUUACUUGAAGCUACUCCAUCAAUUUAACAAAUUUUAUUUAUUUAUUUAAUGGAGGUGUAGAAAAUAAAAGUAUCUGCAAGCACAUUGCAAUAGUGAAAGCAAUGUACCGGUGUUGCAACAUAACUGAACCUUGAUAACCGAUCACAUAUUUUAAGUUUUAACAUUGGUAGUUCACGGAUCGGUUUCUACUUCCACGAACAAUUAUUGAAGGAAAUGAGUUUUUUUUUUAAUGAAUAUUUAUAGACCCCGAUUAAAUAUUCGAAUAUAUAAUAAAAGAGAAACUGACAUAGAAAUGAGAAAGAUAUUUGGAGGAGGCAAAAAAAAAAAAAAAAAAAAUGCAACAGAGAAUUAGAUCAGUAACACAAAUAACUAAUUAAUUCAUCUAUACAUCAUAAUCCUAUUUGUAUCUUCUUCCUUCUUCUAAUUUACAUAUAAAUUUGGUUAGAUAAAACAUAUUUUAAUACUCGGUCACAAGCGGUGGAUAUAGAAAAUUAAUUUAGAGGGGGUAAUACCAUAACGAAAAAUAAUGAUUCAUAAUUAAAAUCAACCCCAACAUCAAAACUUAUUUACAAGAUUACGCCCAGUCAAAGGUAAAUUUUCUUAAAAACUAAUAUGAAAUUAAAUAAAUUUAACUUUUAGUGGGUUCAAGUGCCCACGCAUUCUGAACGUAGAUCCACCCCUGGCCCCGACUGAAGCAUUUUUUUACAAUAUGUACUCAGUUUAUCAGCAGGAACAACCUUCCACUUUAAAUUAAAAUUUUCACUUAAAAAUGAUUAAUGUUAAUGAGGUUAGCAACAAAAAUGAGUUUAAUUAGAGAAUAUUAUAAGAGAAAUUAUAUUUUUUGACUUUUAAUAAAUUAAAAUAUAUUAAAAUAUUAUUAGUUGGUGGUGGUUUCACGUCAGAUUAAGACGUGACACUUUACUUAUGAGGUCGAGACAAUCGACUUAAAUUAUUUCAAUGCAUUUAAAAUUUAUACUAAUGGCUAUUAUUCUUUAUCCAAAUUAAUACGAUAAUUAAUAACAUACAAUUGAAAUAAUUAAUAUUAUCACUUGGCAAUAAAUAAAGCUCUUGUGCUUGAAUCGUCACACAUGAUCAUUUCAUUCCUUUAUUUACUUUGCUAACACAGAUUUUGAGGCAUUAAAACUAAAUAAUAAUUGAAUAUGGCUUUGUGCGUCGCUGACGCCAGCAGCAAGGGGACCUCAAUUAUCACUUUUUAAGUUGAUUAUUGCAGUGUUUUUAUUUUUUAUAUUAAAAUUAAGUCGAUUUGUUAUAAUAAACUUAGUUGAGUUUAAUGGUAUUACUACAAAAAUUGAAUAGUCAUUAAAUAUUUUAAUAUUUUUAUCGCAAUCAUUGCUGUAGCAUUUAUUUAUUGUAUGAUGAAUUUUAAAAUUUAUAAAAUUAUUUGUUAUUUAAUUACCCCAGAUGCUACAUCACCUGAAACUUAAUAAAGGGAACGUAGCAUUGCCAUUACUCAACAUUCACUCUUAUGACUUUUUUUUUUUUUUUUGUUUUAUCUACUAGGUAUUCUGGGGAGGGCCCCAACUGUGGGAGGCACCUUUAAGCCCAUACCACAAUUCAGAUUAGAAGUCCCCGCUCGAACCAGGAGGCACAUGUUCUCCCAACAAAGACGACUUCCCUGCGACUCGAACUGUGAAGCAAACCCAGUCAAACCACUUAAAGGGACUCCAUUACCAGUGGAGCCAACACUUUAUUGGUACUCUUAUGACUUUAUGACAUUAGAAUUAAAAUCUUUCGUACAUUUAAUUUGUUUGCUUCCAAAUUAAAUCUUUAAUAAAUAUUUUUUUCACAUUAUCAUGAAUGGACAAAACUCCAACGAAAAUAACUACACAAGAACAAUCUAUGCUAGUAUUAUAUGCCACGAUAUCUAUAACUUUGUCAGGAUCGAUCGGUCUAAUUUUUACGCAGAACUUUUUGUCAAUCGACAAACACCUCACAGAGCUUGUCACCUGUCAGCCGCAUUAUUACGAUGUAAAAUUGCACCGGAAUAUCUUGAAUUAUUAGUAGAAUAACGAAGACUAUUUGGAGCAAUAAAAACAAAUAACGCAGAUGAAAACAAUGGCUGAAAUUAUGUAAGUGAGCCCCAAAGUUUUUGCUAUUUCCUGGAAAUCCCCAAUUUGAAUGGACUAGAGGGAGGCACGUAAGAAAUACAUUUUCUUCCUAGACAAUGACAGCUAUGCAUCAAGCCACGGUGGCGUCAGUAUUGAAAUUAAGGUGUAAUUAUUCAGCCAAUGAGCCUUACACAUCAAGAUAAAAGUCAAGAAAAUGGAAAUUUGGCCGUUUCCAUUUUGAAGUUAAAAACAAAGUUUCUUUCGUUUUGUGGGCGACUCGACUGAUCAGUUGGUGGACACCUCUAUUGAAAAUAUCUCUGACAUUUCACUCGACAAACUUGUUAAUACAAAAAAUCUAUGAUUUUAUCGUCUGUAUACUGUAGAAAAAAAUUGUCUAUACAUCUGUGGUAUAGAUUUUAUGUAUUUCAUUACAAAAUGCUGGCCGUUAGAACUCUAUCUACAUCUAUUUAUAAGAUAUUUCGUUAUAAUUCAUUCUGAAACACUAAAACUAAAUAAUCGAAUAUGGCUUUCCCGAUCGAUGAUGCCAGCAGCAAUGAGACUGCAAUUAUCACUUGUUUAGUUUCUGUGCUUGCCGUGGUUUAUUUCGCAUGGAAUGUGAAAAAAUCAAGGAAAGCAAAUGCUACACUGCCACCAGGACCUCGCGGCUUGCCUGUAUUCGGAUACCUCCCAUUUCUCGGAAAUACUGACUUACACAAGAAGUUCACGGAAUUAUCUGGAGUUUAUGGUCCGAUCUUCAAGCUUUGGCUUGGAAAUAAAUUGUGUGUAGUGGUGAGCUCACCUUCCCUAAUUAGACAAGUGGUUCGUGAUCAAGAUACAACAUUCGCGAACCGUGACCCACCGAUGGCUGCACUAGUGGUCUCCUAUGGUGGCAAUGAUAUUGUACGGUCCAAUUACGGUCCCGAAUGGAGAAAGUUGCGCAAAUUUUUUGUGGGCAAGAUGAUGAGUAACGCAAGCCUUGAUGCUUGUUAUGCUCUAAGAAAACAAGAGGUUAAAAAUACUAUCAGGGAUUUGUACAACAACGACAACAAAAUUGGUAAGCCCAUUGACAUUGGUGAAUUGUCGAUUUCAACCUUGGUAUGUGCUAUGCAGAACAUGCUGUGGGCCUGUGGGGUGAAGCGCUUGAAAUAAGAGAGGAAGGGAUCACUAAUCAUGGGGCUGAGCUAAAAUUUAAGCUGGCAGAACUCAUGGUGCUAGCGGGAACACCGAAUAUUUCAGACAUCUUUCCAAUGCUUUCAUGGCUCGACAUACAAGGUAUAGAGAGGAGAGCAAAGAAGAUUUCACUCUGGUUUGAACAUAUUAUAAAUUCUACUGUUGAAAAGCAUAGAAGCAAGGACUUUAUUGUUGAAGGCAAAGAAAGAGCAGGGAAAAAUUUGGAAGGAUCAAGGAACAAGAACUUCUUGCAGUUACUAUUGGAGCUUCAAGAAAAUGAAGACGGUUCUUCCUCAAUUAGCAUGAACCAAUUUAAGGCCGUACUCGUGGUAUGUUAAGCAACUAGCCGCAAACAGUUAAACAAGCACAGCUGUAUAUUUUGCAUGAGUGAUAUUUUCAACUUUUUUUUUAAUUAGAAUUUUAUUGUAACCUUUUGGACAGGAUAUAAUUACGGGUGGAACCGACACCACAACUACGAUGGUGGAAUGGACAAUGGCAGAGUUGAUACAGCAUCCACAAGUAAUGAAGAAAGUUCAGGAAGAAUUAGCUCAAGUUGUGGGCAUGGACAGUUGUGUUGAAGAAUUUCAUUUGCCUAAACUGAAAUAUUUAGAUGCUGUGGUGAAAGAAUCGUUUCGUCUACAUCCUGCAUUGCCUUUAUUAGUACCACGCAGAGCAAGCGAGAGUGGCAGCAUUGGUGGCUAUACCAUUCCCAAAGAUACAACUCUUAUGUUGAAUGUUUGGGCUAUCCACAGGGACCCUCAACUUUGGGAUAAUCCCUUAGAAUUUCGACCCGAGAGGUUUCUGAAUGUUGGUGUCGAGAGUAAGUUCGAUUACUCAGGUAACAAUUUUCAGUACUUACCAUUUGGUUCUGGUAGAAGGAUGUGUGCUGGGAUUCCUCUAGCUGAGAGGAUGCUGAUGUUUGUUUUGGCUUCGUUAUUGCACUCAUUUGAGUGGGAAUUGCCAGCUGGCACAAAGCUAAACUUAUCUGAAAAAUUUGGGAUUGUUAUUAAGAAAAAAGAGCCUUUGGUUGCUAUUCCAACACCAAGACUAUCCAAUUCAGAGCUUUACCAUUAAGACAGAAUGAUUGUGAUGAUUUUGUUAGUAUCGGAAGAUUUGUAUGUUAUUUCAAGUUCAAACGUAAUAAAAUAUUUUAAUAAAAGUCCUCCGUUGCUAUUUUUUUUUUUCAACGGCAUAAUCUGUCAUCAUGCUUGUGUUUGGAGCUACUUUGGAAUGAUUAUUUUUUAAUUACAAUUUAUAAAUAUUUACAUUUUAAAAUUUUUAUAAGAGUCUAAAUUUAUACAUGUUCAAUAAAAGAUUCCCUAAAAAUUUUACAAUUCAAAAUUCUAUUAAAGUAUAGAUGAAACUUUUAUACCUACUAAUUUUUUGGUCUAUUCUACGAGUUUAAAGAGAAUAUAUUUUUAGAGCUAGCAAAAAGAGGUACUUGAUUGUUUUCGCGUUAUGUCAAUUUUUUUAUUGUGUUAAAUUUAAUUUGACCCACAUAUGACCCAUUUAAUAAUUGUGUCAAAAUAUCAAAAUUUAAACUCGACACGGAAAAUAAAUGGAUGACCAUACACACCCAUUUAAGAAUUAGGUAACUAUGUCACUUAAUACGAUAUAACCCAAUAACUCGUUUAAUACAUAUUUAACUUAAUUUACAUUGUACAUUGUACAACCUUUUAUCAUAAAUUACACUAUUUUAUAUUUCUAAAUAAUAUUAUAUAUUGAUAUUAUAAAAAAAAAUCAAUAAUCUCAAAAUUUGUACACCUCCUAACUUUUGAAAAGAAAUAAUAAAACUAAUUAAUUAAUGUUUAUUUUAUUCAUUAAUAUAUCAUAAUCCUACAUGUAUUUUAUUUGUUAUUUUUUUUUAUUUAAAAAGAUAGGAGGGUGGAUGAAACUCAAAUAAAUUUUUAGCCUAUCCUGAUCUUUCAAGUUUCUUAUUUAGGUGGCCAGCUGAAAAAAAUUACUUGAAAGCUACUCCAUCAAUUUAACAAAUUUUAUUUACUUAAUUAAUGGAGGUGUAGAAAAUAAAAGUAUCUGCAAGUACAUUGCAAUAGUGAAAGCAAUGUACCGGUGUUGGAACAUAACUGAACCCUGGUUACCUAUCACAUAUUUUAAGUUUUAACUUUGGUAGUUCACGGAUCGGUUUCUACUUCCACGAACAAUUAAUGUAGGAAAUGAGUUUUCUUUAUUUUUUAAUGAGUAUUUAUAGACCCCGAUUAAAUAUUGGAAUCUAUCUAUCUAUAUAUAUAUAAAGUUAGGACUUGAGGAGGUGAUGUAGCAUCACCAUUUCUCAUCUUUGUAUAUUCUCUAUUAUCUAAUAAAUAGAGAAAUUUUCUUUUACAUUUAGUUUUUCAUCUUCUCAUAAUUAAUUUGAUUGUCAUUACACAAUAACAAUUAUGUAAAGAUUUUAAUGAGACAUAUUUUUUGUAAUGAACAAGGAGGAGUAUUAUGAAUUUAUUAAAAUAAAUGUAGAUGUUCAUAACAUAUAUCUCUUAGUCUCCUCACUAUCUCUCAUUAGCAACAUUUAGCUUCCCUAUAACUCCCACUAUCUCAUAAGGAAUUAUGAUCCAUAAUUUUUCAUUAAUUUCAUGGAGUGAUUAUGUAACUAUAAAAGAAGAGCUCAUCUUUUUGUUUUGUACACACACAAUUGGAAUGAAUAAAAUCACUCUAUAAUAUAUUCUCUCAUUUUAUUCUUUAUUUUGCGUUGCUUCUUUAUUUGUAUUGCUGGCUAAUAGUUUUUAUUUUUAUUUUUUAUAAGGUUGCCUCAUCUUAAAAAAAAAUCAAUUCAUAUUUUUUAUCAGUUUCAUCAAGUGUAAAGUAAGAAAAAAAUAUAAUACUAAUUUUUUUUUUCAAAUAAAUGUAGAUGUUCAUAACAUAUAUCUCUUAGUCUCCCAACUAUCUCUCAUUAGCAACAUUUAGCUUCCCUAUAACUCCCACUAUCUCAUAAGGAAUUUUGAUCCAUAAUUUUUCAUUAAUUUCAUGGAGUGAUUAUGUAACUAUAAAAUAAGAGCUCAUCUUUUUUGUUUUGUACACACAUAAUUGGAAUAAAUAAAAUCACUCUAUAAUAUAUUCUCUCAUUUUAUUCUUUAUUUGUAUUGCUGGCUAAUAGUUUUUAUUUUUAUUUUUUAUAAGGUUGCCUCAUCUUAAAAAAAAAUCAAUUCAUAUUUUUUAUCAGUUUCAUCAAGUGUAAAGUAAGAAAAAAAUAUAAUACUAAUUUUUUUUUUCAAAUAAAUGUAGAUGUUCAUAACAUAUAUCUCUUAGUCUCCCCACUAUCUCUCAUUAGCAACAUUUAGCUUCCCUAUAACUCCCACUAUCUCAUAAGGAAUUUUGAUCCAUAAUUUUUCAUUAAUUUCAUGGAGUGAUUAUGUAACUAUAAAAUAAGAGCUCAUCUUUUUUGUUUUGUACACACAUAAUUGGAAUAAAUAAAAUCACUCUAUAAUAUAUUCUCUUAUUUUAUUCUUUAUUUUGCGUUGCUUCUUUAUUUGUAUUGCUGGCUAAUAGUUUUUUUUUUUUUUUUUUAUAAGGUUGCCUCAUCUUAAAAAAAAAUCAAUUCAUAUUUUUUAUCAGUUUCAUCAAGUGUAAAGUAAGAAAAAAAUAUAAUACUAAAUUUUUUUUUCAAAGCCGCGUGAAGCGCGGUUCUAUUUUCUAGUAUAUAAUAAAAGAGAAACUGACAUAGAAAUGAGAAAGAUAUUUGGAGGAGGCAAAAAAAAAAAAAAAAAAUGCAACAGAGAAUUAGAUCAGCAACACAAGUAACUAAUUCAUCUAUACAUCAUAAUCCUAUUUGUAUCUUCUUCCUUCUUCUAAUUUACAUAUAAAUUUGGUUAGAUAAAACAUAUUUUAAUACUUGGUCACAAGUGGUGGAUAUAGAAAAGGGUAAUUUUCAGUUUCAUCACCUGAGGUUUGGGGUCCCUUCAGUUAGAUAGAUUCUAUGAGGGUAUCUCCACUUUGCACUCCUACCGUUCGUAUAAUGUUUAGUAUAAGUUUAGUUUACGAGAAUAAAUAAGUAAUUGCAUGAUAAAUUAUUAAAUAUUAAGAUAAUUUUGAAUUUUUACACUCUGCAAACUGGAACCUGUUGAAACAUUGUGGUGCUCGCUAGCCAAUAAUCAAAAAUCAAACGACACCCAUUUUGAAGAAACCCUAAGACAAAAUCAAACGACACCCAUUUCAAGCUUAUUAACUAGAGAGAUUUCGAAGAAACCCUAAGUCAAAAUCAAACGACACCCAUUUCUCAUUCCACUCUCCUCGAACUCGAAUCCCUCUUACAAUCGAUUGAUCCAGACACCCUUUACCGAUUCACCGAUCAACUCUCCUCCAAAAAAACUCUCUUUAUCCUCUCUCAUUCCUCCAAUUUCUUGCGCCAUGGAUGCGGGCCCCACCAAUAUCUCCCUCUUGGCCUCCAAAAUUUACCUUGCAUUGCUUCUCUCCCCGAACUCCCCUGUCUUCACUUUGUUCACUCCCAUGGCGUUCCUCUCCCUUCGCCGCUCCCUCAAGAGUUUUAAGCGCGUGUCUGAUAGCGGGUCCCACUCUAGUGUUAACCACAAAAGAAAAGGUGGUGGCAGGCGGGUUCAGCGGGCGAAUGAAUUUAACGAGGAUGAGAGCGAGGGUGGAUUUGAUGCUAGGAGUUUGUGUUUGGUUGUUGAGAAGUUGGAAUUUGUUGUGGGGUUGGUUUAUUUGAAUAGAUUUCUAGAUUGUUUGAAGUCUUUGAUACAGACUGUUGUUGAGAUUCUGGUCUCUUUGCUUGAAUUGGGAGGUUAUGAGAAAUUGAAUGUUUGUUUUCAGGGAUUUUGAUUAAGUUGUUGAGGGGGGAGCAUGGUGAUGUGAUGAGUACAACUGCAUAGGUUUUGAAGUCAUUAGUGCCAUUGAUUUUGAUGGGCAAAUGUCAAGCGAGGAGUUUUGCAUUAGGAUUUUUGAUGAAUGGAGUGAUGGGUGUGGCUAAAGAGAUCGACGGGGUCAAGAAGGCAGUUGUGAAUUUGCCGAAGUACUUGGUGAACAAGGCCCUGGAGAAGGCCGAGCUGAGGGGAUUAGCUGUGGAGGCAAUUAUGGAGAUUGUUAAAGCAAUGGAGGUUGAGGAUCAAAUGGGGUUUGUUGAAUAUACUGUUAAAGCUGACUAAAGGGAAGGCUAAUCUUAGCCUAGUUGCAGUUGAUCUGAUAUUAAUGCUAAUGACGUCGAUGAGAGAUCCAUUGAAUCUCUCGUUUACGACAUUCAGUUUAGUUAAUAAGCUUGAAAAAAAAAAAAAAGGGGCUCCAGUUGGUUAUUAAAAUAGUUUUAUUGAUGCAAGGGUGUUUUAGUCAUUUAAUCAGUCAAUUAACAGUCAAAUAAAUGUUAUCCUAACGGUAGGGGUGUAAAGUGGAGAUACACUCAUACAAUCUAUCAAAGUGAAAGGACCCCAAAUCUCAGGGGAGGAAACCGAAAAUUACCCAUAUAGAAAAUUAAUUUAGAGGGGGUAAUACCGUAACGAAAAAUAAUGAUUCAUAAUUAAAAUCAACCCCAACAUCAAAACUUAUUUACAAGAUCACCCCCAGUCAAAGGUAAUUUUUCCUAAAAACUAAUACGAAAUUAAAUAAAUUUAACUUUUAGUGGGUUCAAUUGCCCACGCAUUCUGAACGUAGAUCCACCCCUGGCCCCGACUGAAGCAUUUUUUACAAUAUGUACUCUGUUUAUCAGCAGGAACAACCUUCCACUUUAAAUUAAAAUUUUCACUUAAAAAUGAUUAAGGUUAAUGAGGUUAGUAACAAAAAUGAGUUUAAUUAGAGAAUAUUAUAAGAGAAAUUCUAUUUUUUGACUUUUAAUAAAUUAAAAUAUAUUAAAAUAUUAUUAAUUGGUGGUGGUUUCACAUCAAAUUAAGACAUGACACCUAAUUUAUGAGGUGGAGACAAUCGGCUUAAACUAUUUUAAUGCAUUUAAAAUUUGUACUAAUGACUAUCAUUCUUUGUCCUAAUUAAUACGAUAAUUAAUAACAUACAAUUGAAAUAAUUAAUAUUAGCACUUGGCAAUAAAUAAAGCUCUUGUGCUUGAAUCGGCGCACAUGAUCAUUUCAUUCCUUUAUUUACUUUGCUACCACAGAUUUUGAGGCAUUAAAACUAAAUAAUAAUUGAAUAUGGCUUUGUGCGUCGAUGACGCCAGCAACAAGGGGACCGCAAUUAUCACUUUUUAAGUUGCUACUAAAAUUGAUUUUAGUAGUGAUAUGAUUAUUGCAGUGUUUUUAUUUUUUAUAAUAAAAUUAAGUCGAUUUGUUAUAAUAAACUUAGUUGAGUUUAAUGGUAUUAUUACAGAAAUUAAAGUCAUUAAAUAUUUUAAUAUUUUUAUCGUAAGCAUUGACAUGGUAUUUAUUUAUUUAUUGUAUGAUGGAUUUUAAAAUUUAUAAAAUUAUUUGUUAUUAAAUUACCCCCAGAUGCUACAUCACCUGAAACUUAAUAAAGGGAACGUAGCAUUGCCAUUACUCAACAUUCACUCUUAUGACUUUAUGACAUUAGAAUUAAAAUCUUUCGUACAUUUAAUUUGUUUGCUUCCAAAUUAAUCUUUAAUAAAUAUUUUUUUCACAUUAUCAUCAAUGGAAAAAACUCCAACGAAAAUAACUACACAAGAACAAUCUAUGCUAGUAUUAUAUGCCACGAUAUCUAUAACUUUGUCAGGAUCGAUCAUUCUAAUUUUUACGCAGAACUUUUUGUCAAUCGACAAACACCUCACAGAGCUUGUCACUUGUCAGCCGCAUUAUUACGAUGUAAAAUUGUACCGGAAUAUCUUGAAUUAUUAGUAGAAUAACGAAGACUAUUUGGAGCAAUAAAAGAAUCCAGCUGUGGUGCCACAAUUAUAUGGUACCACAGCUGGAUCUAACCAUUAAAUUUAGCUCUGGUGACAAUUGUGGGUUAGAUCCAAUGGUUGGAUCCAUCUGUGGUACCAUACAACAGUGGUACCACAGAUUUGUCCGCAAUAAAAACAAAUAACGCAGAUGAAAACAAUGGCUAAAAUUAUGUAAGUGAGCCCCAAAGUUUUUGCUAUUUCCAGGAAAUCCCAAAUUUGAUUGGACUAGAGGGAGGCAGGUAAGAAAUACAUUUUCUUCCUAGACAAUGACAGCUAUGACAUCAAGCCACUGCUAUUAUUAAUUAUCCCCUGGUCAUUACAGUUUGUUAAUAUUCAUUCUGAAACAGUAAAACAAAAACGAAAUUGAAUACAUCAACGAGACCGCAAUUAUCACUUGUUUAGUUGCGGUAUUUAACUUAAUUUUAAUCUAAUAUAUUUGUUAGUUAAACUUUUAAUAAUCAAAUAAUUUUGAUUUAAAAAUAAAGUUAUAGAAAUUAAUAAUUAUUAAAAAUUCACAAUUAAGGGAACGUUCAUCAAACACACAUAGCUAUUGUUUUCUCUAUAUAUUGCAGUGUGUACGAUAUUGAGGGUUGAAGUCCCAAGCAUGCUCUAAAAUCCAGAUAAUAUUUAGAUCCAAGCAAACUAGAGUAGUGAUUUAAUGAAAAUCAUAUGUAUUGAAAAAAAAUGAAAAGAGGUCAUAAACUAGAACAAAAAUAUAAUCAUAUUCAAGUAAACUUAAUAGAUAAACCCUAAGUUCGUGCACGAGAGUUGAACUCUAUGAAUUUUACUCAAUAAUUUGAUGCAUACAAAAUAUAUACGAGUUUAUGAGUGACGUAUAAGUACUAAAAGAGUUAAGUAAUAAGUAAAUAAAAUAAACCAAGUGGCAUGACAUUGAUUCAAUAUUAUUGUAUCAAUAUUUAUGAAAGAAAUUGUAUUAAAAUUAAAUUGUAUGUUGAGUAUUGAUCUUGUCGUCUCAUUAUGUUUAGAUAUCUUAAUAUUAAAUCGAUAUAUGUUGUAUCGUUGGUUGAUUAAAUGUCAUAUCAUUUAAAGUAUAUCCUUAACUAACUGAAUUAAUAGCAUAAAUAAUUUAUUUCAAGAAGUCUUUGACCAGGUAAUGUAAAUGAGAUUUGCAGCUUUGAGAAGAAACAUAAUAUUUCAAACGUAGAAUAUUAAAACGUAACUAUCAUAUUAUCAUUCUUGUUUUUUAAAUCUGAAUAAUUGAGAAUGCAAUUUUAGAAGUCAACUUUAAUGAGAUCGCAUACCAAUUCCAAUAUUUAAUCAAAUCUUGACCGUCCCUCAAUCAAUCAACGGUGCGAAACAAUUAGUGAAUCCACAUAUGAGCCAUGAUUAGUUGGUGGUGAUGAAGGCUGUUAUUGGCGGAGCUCAAAGUUAUUAUGUGCAUGUUGGGUGGAUAUCUCUAUUGAAAAUAUCUCUGAUAUUUCACUCGACAAACUUGUUAAUAUAAAAAAUCUAUGGUUUUGCCGUCUGUAAACUGUAGAAAAAAUUGACUCUACGUUAAUCUAAAUGUUUGAGGUGAUUAGAAAUUACCGACUAUAAAGGGGAAUAAUUUAUAGGUUGAUUGAUACAUCUCUAUUGAAAAUAUCUCUGACAUUUCACUCGACAAACUCAUUAAUAUAAAAAAUCUAUGGUUUUGCCAUCUGUAUACUGUAGAAAAAUUUGUCUAUACAUUAAUCUAGAUGUUGGAGGUGGUUAAUAUUUUAUGUAUUUCAUUAUCAAAUGCUGGCCGUUGGGACCCUAUCUACAUCUAUUAAUAAGAUUAACAGGUGCCAGACUAGGCCAUUACAAAUUAUCCCCUCAUCAGAUAUUUCGUUAAAAUUCAUUCUGAAACACUAAAACUAAAUAAUUGAAUAUGGCUUUGCGGGUCGAUGAUGCCAGCAGCAAUGAGACUGCAAUUAUCACUUGUUUAGUUUCUGUGCUUGCCGUGGUUUACUUCGCAUGGAAUGUGAAAAAAUCAAGGAAAGCAAAUGCUAAACUUCCACCAGGACCUCGCGGCUUGCCUGUAGUCGGAUACCUCCCAUUUCUCGGAACUACUGACUUGCACAAGAAAUUCACGGAAUUAUCCGGAGUUUAUGGUCCGAUCUUCAAGCUCUGGCUCGGAAACAAAUUAUGUGUCGUGGCGAGCUCACCUUCCCUAGUUAAACAAGUGGUUCGAGAUCAAGAUACAACAUUCGCCAACCGUGACCCGCCGAUCGCUGUACUAGCGUUCACCUAUGGUGGCAAUGAUAUUGCAUGGUCCAAUUACGGUCCCGAAUGGAGAAAUUUGCGCAAAGCUUUUGUGGGCAAGAUGAUGAGUAACGCAAGCCUUGAUGCUUGUUAUGCUCUAAGAAAACAAGAGGUUAAAAAUACUAUCAGGGAUUUGUACAACAACGACAACAAAAUUGGUAAGCCCAUCGACAUUGGUGAAUUGUCAAUUUCAACCUUGGUAUGUGUUAUUCAGAACAUGCUGUGGGGUGAAGCGCUUGAAACAAGAGAGGAAGGGAUCACUAAUCUUGGGGCUGAGCUAAAAUUUAAGCUGGCAGAACUCAUGGUCCUAAUGGGAACACCGAAUAUUUCGGACGUCUUUCCAGUGCUUUCAUGGUUUGAUAUACAAGGUAUAGAGAGGAAAGCAAAGAAGAUUUCACUCUGGUUUGAAAAUAUUAUAAAUUCUACUGUUGAAAAGUAUAGAAGCAAGGACUUUAUUGUUGAAGGUAAAGAAAGAGCAGGGGAAAAUUUUGAAGGAUCAAGGAACAAGAACUUCUUGCAGUUACUAUUGGAGCUUCAAGAAAAUGAAGACGGUUCUUCCUCAAUUAGCAUGAACCAAUUUAAGGGCGUGCUCGCGGUAUGUUAAGCAACUAGCCACGAACAGUUAUACAAGCACAGUUGUAUAUUUGCAUGAGUGACGCUUCUCAACUUUUUUUAAUUUUUUAAAUUAAAGUUUUAUUGUAAUCUUUUGAACAGGAUAUAAUUACGGGUGGAACCGACACCACAACUACGAUGGUGGAAUGGACAAUGGCAGAGUUGAUGCAGCAUCCACAAGUAAUGAAGAAAGUUCAGGAAGAAUUAGCUCAAGUUGUGGGCAUGGACAGUUGUGUUGAAGAAUUUCAUUUGCCUAAACUGAAAUAUUUAGAUGCUGUGGUGAAAGAAUCGUUUCGUCUGCAUCCUGCAGUGCCUUUAUUAGUACCACGCAGAGCAAGCGAGAGUGGCAGCAUUGGUGGCUAUACCAUUCCCAAAGAUACAACUCUUAUGUUGAAUGUUUGGGCUAUCCACAGGGACCCUCAACUUUGGGAUAAUCCCUUAGAAUUUCGACCCGAGAGGUUUCUGAAUGUUGGUGUCGAGAGUAAGUUCGAUUACUCAGGUAACAAUUUUCAGUACUUACCUUUUGGUUCUGGUAGAAGAAUGUGUGCUGGGAUUCCUCUAGCUGAGAGGAUGCUGAUGUUUGUUUUGGCUUCGUUAUUGCACUCAUUUGAGUGGGAAUUGCCAGCUGGCACAAAGCUAAAUUUAUCUGAAAAAUUUGGGUUUGUCAUUAAGAAAAAAGAGCCUUUGGUUGCUAUUCCAACACCAAGACUAUCCAAUUCAGAGCUUUACCAUUAAAACAGAAUGAUUGUGAUGAUUUUGUUAGUAUCGGAAGAUUUGUAUGUUAUUUCAAGUUCAAUCGUAAUAAAAUAUUUUAAUAAAAGUCCUCCGUUGCUAAUUUUUUUUUUCAACGGCAUAAUCUGUCAUCAUGCUUGUGUUUGGAGCUACUUUGGAAUGAUUAUUUUUGAAUUACAAUUUAUAAAUAUUUAGGUUUUAAAUUUUUUAUAAGAGUCUAAAUUUAUACACGUUCAGUAAAAGAUUCCCUAAAAGCUUUACAAUUCAAAAUUCUAUUAAAAGUAUAGAUGAAACUUUUAUACCUACUAAUUUUUUGGUCUAUUCUACAAGUUUAAAGAGGAGAUAUUUCUAGAGCUAGCAAAAAGAGCUACCUGAUUGUUUUCGCGUUAUGUCAAUUUUUUUAUUGUGUUAAAUUUAAUUUGACCCACAUAUGACCCAUUUAAUAAUCGUGUCAAAAUAUUGAAACUUGAACUUGAUACGGAAAAUAAAUGGAUGACCACACACACCCAUUUAAGAAUUAGGUAACUAUGUCACUUAAUACGACAUAACCCAAUAACUCGUUUAAUACAUAUUUAACAUAAUUUACAUUGUACAUUGUACACCCUUUUGUCAUAAAUUACACUAUUUUAUAUUUCUAAAUAAUAUUAUAUAUUGAUAUUAUAAAAAAAUAUCAAUAAUCUCAAAAUUUGUACACCUCCUAACUUUUAAAAAGAAAUAAAAAAACUAAUUAAUUAAUGUUUAUUUUAUUCAUUAAUAUAUCAUAAUCCUACAUGUAUUUUAUUUGUUAUUUUUUUUAUUUAAAAAGAUAGGAGGGUGGAUGAAACUCAAAUAAAUUUUUAGCCUAUCCUGAUCUUUCAAGUUUCUUAUUUAGGAGGCCAGUUAAAAAAAAUUACUUAGAAAGCUACUCCAUCAAUUUAACAAAUUUUAUUUAUUUAAUUAAUGGAGGUGUAGAAAAUAAAAGUAUCUGCAAGCACAUUGCAAUAGUGAAAGCAAUGUACCGGUGUUGCAACAUAACUGAAUCUUGAUAACCUAUCACAUAUUUUAAGUUUUAAUAUUGGUAGUUCACGGAUCGGUUUCUACUUCCACGAACAAUUAUUGAAGGAAAUGAGUUUUUUUUUUAAUGAAUAUUUAUAGACCCCGAUUAAAUAUUCGAAUAUAUAAUAAAAGAGAAACUGACAUAGAAAUGAGAAAGAUAUUUGGAGGAGGCCAAAAAAAAAAAAAAAAAUGCAACAGAGAAUUAGAUCAGCAACACAAGUAACUAAUUAAUUCAUCUAUACAUCAUAAUCCUAUUUGUAUCUUCUUCCUUCUACUAAUUUACAUAUAAAUUUGGUUAGAUAAAACAUAUUUUAAUACUCGGUCACAAGCGGUGGAUAUAGAAAAUUAAUUUAGAGGGGGUAAUACCAUAACGAAAAAUAAUGAUUCAUAACUAAAAUCAACCCCAACAUCAAAACUUAUUUACAAGAUUACGCCCAGUCAAAGGUAAUUUUUCCUAAAAACUAAUACGAAAUUAAAUAAAUUUAACUUUUAGUGGGUUCAAGUGCCCACGCAUUCUGAACGUAGAUCCACCCCUGGCCCCGACUGAAGCAUUUUUUACAAUAUGUACUCAGUUUAUCAACAGGAACAACCUUCCACUUUAAAUUAAAAUUUUCACUUAAAAAUGAUUAAUGUUAAUGAGGUUAGCAACAAAAAUGAGUUUAAUUAGAGAAUAUUAUAAGAGAAAUUAUAUUUUUUGACUUUUAAUAAAUUAAAAUAUUAUUAGUUGGUGGUGGUUUCACGUCAGAUUAAGACGUGACACUUUACUUAUGAGGUCGAGACAAUCGACUUAAACUAUUUCAAUGCAUUUGAAAUUUGCACUAAUGGCUAUCAUUCUUUGUCCAAAUUAAUACGAUAAUUAAUAACAUACAAUUGAAAUAAUUAAUACUAGCACUUGGCAAUAAAUAAAGCUCUUGUGCUUGAAUCGUCACACAUGAUCACUUCAUUCCUUUAUUUACUUUGCUACCACAAAUUUUGAGGCAUUAUAACUAAAUAAUAAUUGAAUAGGGCUUUGUGUUACUUGUUGUGCGCGCGGAAUGCGGAAUCAAGCACACCAAAUUAUUACAGAAAAAUAAAGGACACAAUUAUUUGACGUGGUUCGGUAAUUAAACUUACAUCCACGGAGGCAAGAAAGAAUAAUUGUUUAUUUAACAAUUAAUAGAGUACAAAUAUUUGAGUAACGAAUCUCACUUCUCAGAAACCUAAAUAUACCCAAUACUCUCACACUCUGCAGGAAAGAUAAAUUAUCCAAACACACUUCUCUCACUUCUCUAAAAAACUUAAAAAUUUAAAAACUUAACAAUUUUGGAAUGCUUUAGAAUAGAAGAAGUGCCAUCUUAUAGGAAAAAUAAUGAUACUAUUGCACCAACCUCUUUACUAUUCCACCUAACAUAAGCAAAUUGUCAAUAGUGUCCAUUUAACUUUUUAUUUUUUUUCUUCAAUUGUUUAGUAGCCCUUUAAAAAUCUGCGUGGUUUCUUGAAAUUUAGAUGCCACAUGCAUGACUUUUCAACACUAAUUACUACGAUAAUUAAUAUUAGCACUUGGCAAUAAAUAAAGCUCUUGUGCUUGAAUCGUCACACACGAUCACUUCAUUCCUUUAUUUGCUUUGCUACCACAGAUUUUGAGGCAUUAAAACUAAAUAAUAAUUGAAUAUGGCUUUGUGCGUCGAUGACGCCAGCAACAAGGGGACCACAAUUAUCACUUUUUAAGUUGCUUUUAAAAUUGAUUUUAAUAGUGAUUUGAUUAUUGUAGUGUUUUUAUUUUUAUAUUAAAAUUAAGUCGAUUUGUUAUAAUAAACUUAGUUGAGUUUAAUGGUAUUACUACAUAAAUUGAAUAGUCAUCAAAUAUUUUAAUGUUUUUAUGGCAAGUGUUGACGUGGCAUUUAUUUGUUGUAUGAUGGAUUUUAAAAUUUAUAAAAUUAUUUGUUAUUAAAUUACCCCCAGAUGCUGCAUCACCUGAAACUUAAUAAAGGGCAUGUAGCAUUGCCAUUACUCAACAUUCACUCUUAUGACUUUAUGACAUUAGAAUUAAAAUCUUUCGUACAUUUAAUUUGUUUGCUUCCAGAUUAAUCUUUAAAAAUAUUUUUUUCACAUUAUCAUGAAUGGACAAAACUCCAACGAAAAUAACUACGCAAGAGCAAUCUAUGCUAGUAUUAUAUGCCACGAUAUCUAUAACUUUGUCAGGUCUCAGGAUCGAUCAUUCUAAUUUUUACGCAGAACUUUUAAUCAAUGGACAAACACCUCACCGAGCUUGUCGGCAGCAUUACUACGAUGUAAAAUUGUACCGGAAUAUCUUGAAGUAUUAGUAGAAUAAUGAAGACUAUUUGGAGCAAUAAAAACAAAUAACGCAGAUAAAAAAAAUGGCUAAAAUUAUGUAAGUGAGCCCCAAAGUUUUUGCUAUUUCCAGGAAAUCCCAAAUUUGAAUGGACUAGAGGGAGGCACGUAAGAAAUACAUUUUCUUCCUAGACAAUGACAGCUAUGACAUCAAGCCACGUAUUGAAAUUAAGGUGUAAUUAUUCAGCCAAUGAGCCUUACACACCAAGAUGUAUAAAAGUCAAGAAAAUGAAAUUUUAUCCCAAUUAAAACACUUUCUGGCUGCAAUUGGCUGUUUCCAUUUGAAGUUAAAAAACAACAACGUUUCUUUCGUUUUGUGGGCGAUUCGAUUGAGCACGCGCCACGAGCUAGCUGGCUUCCAGUGCUUGCGUGUGACAAUAGAAGGCUAGUGAUUUCACUUUCGCUUUUUUUUUUUUUUCUUUUUUUUGGGGAAUCAAGAUAAAAGCCAAGAAAAUGAAAAUUGGGCUGUUUCCAUUUGAAGUUAAAAACAGUGUUUCUUUCGGGGCGUCAAUUUGAUAUUUGAAUGGACAGGCAAGUAAGAAAUACAAUUCCUUCAUAGACAAUGACAACGAGGACAUCAAGGCACAUCAUUAUAGUUUGUAGCCCAUCUACAUUUAAACGAUUAAUAAACAAGCUUAGGUGUGCCACUGCUAUUAUUAAUUAUCCCCUGAUCAUUAUAGUUUCUGAAACAGUAAAACAAAACGAAAUUGAAUACAUCAACGAGAUCGCAAUUAUCACUUGUUUAGUUGCGGUAUUUAACUUAAUUUUAAUCUAAUAUAUUUGUUAGUUAAACUUUUAAUAAUCAAAUAAUUUUGACUUAAAAAUAAAAUUAUAGAAAUUAUUAAUUAUUAAAAAUUCACACAUAGCUAUUGUUUUCUCUAUAUAUUGCAGUGUGUACGAUAUUGAGGGUUGAAGCCCAAAGCAUGCCCUAAAAUCCAGAUAAUAAUUAGAUCCGGGCCAAAUAUUCAUCAUUGUGUCGGCUGAUCAGUCGGUGGACAUCUCUAUUGAAAAAAUCUCUGACAUUUCUCUCGACAAACUUAUUACUAAAAAAAAAUCAGUGGUUUUGCCGUCUGAAUAAUGUAGAAAAAUUUGUCUGUGCAUUAAUCUAGAUGUUUGAGGUGAUUUAUACAUCUGUGAUAAAGAUUUAUAGGUUGACUUAUACGUCUGUGGUAUAGAUUUUAUGUAUUUCAUUACAAAAUGCUGGCCGUUAGAACCCUUUCUACAUCUAUUUAUAAGAUUAACGGGUGCCAGUUAUGCCAUUACAAAUUAUCCCCUCAUCAGAUAUUUCGUUAAAAUUCAUUCUGAAACACUAAAACUAAAUAAUCGAACAUGGCUUUGCGGGUCGAUGAUGCCAGAAGCAAUUCGACUGCAAUUAUCACUUGUUUAGUUUCUGUGCUUGCCGUGGUUUACUUGGCAUGGAAUGUGAAAAAAUCAAGGAAAGCAAAUGCUAAACUGCCACCAGGACCUCCCGGCUUGCCUGUAGUCGGAUACCUCCCAUUUCUCGGAACUACUGACUUGCACAAGAAAUUCACGGAAUUAUCCGGAGUUUACGGUCCGAUCUUCAAGCUCUGGCUCGGAAAUAAAUUAUGUGUAGUGGUGAGCUCACCUUCCCUAAUUAGACAAGUGGUUCGUGAUCAAGAUACAACAUUCGCGAACCGUGACCCACCGAAGGCUGCACUAGUGGUCUCCUAUGGUGGCAAUGAUAUUGCAUGGUCCAAUUACGGUCCCGAAUGGAGAAAGUUGCGCAAAUUUUUUGUGGGCAAGAUGAUGAGUAACGCAAGCCUUGAUGCUUGUUAUGCUCUAAGAAAACAAGAGGUUAAAAAUACUAUCAGGGAUUUGUAUAACAACGACAACAAAAUUGGCAAGCCCAUUGACAUUGGUGAAUUGUCGUUUUCAACAUUGGUAUGUGCUAUACAGAACAUGCUGUGGGGUGAAGCGCUUGAAAUAAGAGAGAAAGGGACCACUAAUCUUGGGGCUGGGCUAAAAUUUAAGCUGGCAGAACUCAUGGUGCUUGCGGGAACACCGAAUAUUUCGGAUGUCUUUCCAAUGCUUUCAUGGCUUGACAUACAAGGUAUAGAGAGGAGAGCAAAGAAGAUUUCACUCUGGCUUGAAAAUGUUAUAAAUUCUACUGUUGAACAGCAUAGAAACAAGGAGUCAACUGUUGAAGGUGAAGAAAGAGCGGGGAAAAAUUUUGAAGGAUCAAGGAACAAGAACUUCUUGCAGUUACUAUUGGAGCUUCAAGAAAAUGAUGACAGUGCUUCCUCAAUUAGCAUGAACCAAUUCAAGGCCGUACUCAUGGUAUGUUAAGUAACUAGCAACGAACAGUUAUACAAGCACAGUUGUAUAUUUGCAUGAGUGAUAUUUUCAACCUUUUUUUUUAAUUAGAAUUUUAUUGUCACCUUUUGGACAGGAUAUAAUUACGGCUGGAACCGACACCACAGCUACGAUGGUGGAAUGGACAAUGGCAGAGUUGAUGCAGCAUCCACAAGUAAUGAAGAACGUUCAGGAAGAAUUAGCUCAAGUUGUGGGCAUGGACAGUUGUGUUGAAGAAUUUCACCUGUCUAGAUUAAAGUAUUUAGAUGCUGUGGUGAAGGAAACAUUUCGUCUGCAUCCUGCAGUGCCUUUAUUAGUACCACGCAGAGCAAGCGAGAGUGGCAGCAUUGGUGGCUAUACCAUUCCCAAAGAUACAACUCUUAUGUUGAAUGUUUGGGCUAUCCACAGGGACCCUCACCUUUGGGAUAAUCCCUUAGAAUUUCGACCCGAGAGGUUUCUGAAUGUUGGUGUCGAGAGUAAGUUCGAUUACUCAGGUAACAAUUUUCAGUACUUGCCAUUUGGUUCUGGUAGAAGAAUGUGUGCUGGGAUUCCUCUAGCUGAGAGGAUGCUGAUGUUUGUUUUGGCUUCGUUAUUGCACUCAUUUGAGUGGGAAUUGCCAGCUGGCACAAAGCUAAACUUAUCUGAAAAAUUUGGGAUUGUCAUUAAGAAAAAAGAGCCUUUGGUUGCUAUUCCAACACCAAGACUAUCCAAUUCAGAGCUCUACCAUUAAGACAAAAUGGUUGUGAUGAUUUUGUUAAUUUUCCGAAGAUUUGUAUGUUAUUUAGUUCAAUCGUAAUAAAAUAUUUCAAAUAAGAGUCCUCCGUUGCUUUUUUUUUUUUUUUUUUUUCAACGGCAUAAUCUGUCGUCAUGCUUGUAUUUGGAGCUACUUUGGAAUAAUUAUGUUUGAAUUACAAUUUAUAAAUAUUUACGUUUUAAAUUUUUUAUAAGAGUCUAAAUUUAUACACGUUUAAUAUCCCGCUUCAUAGAUAUUUAACACAAUUUAUAUCAUACAUUGUAUACCCAUUUGUCAUAAAUUAUACUAUUUUGUAUCUCUAAAUAAUAUUACGUAUUGAUAUUAUAAUAUAUAUAUAUAUGUUUAUCAAAAGACUAUACCAUUCAAUAUAUAUUGAAAAGAGAACAAAGAAGAUUUUCUUAUGGUUUAAAAAUAUUAUGAAUUCUGCUGUUGAACAGUAUGGAAACAAGGUCUCUGUUGUUAAAGGUGAAGAAGCAACAGGGAACAAUAUUGAAGGAAGAAAUUUCACAUGUUUAGUUGCUGAAUUUGCCGCUGUAUUCUAUCGGUAGUAGAGUUUUUAUUUUUCUCUAUUAAUUUAAGUCAAUUUUCUAUAACAAAUUCGGUUGAGUUUAAUUGUGUUAUAAUAUAAAUUGAAUGAUAAUAGAAUUUUCAACAAAUAUUUCAAUAUUUCUAUCUCGAUUGUUGAAGUGCCAUUUAUUUGUUAUGCGAUCGAUUUUAAAAUUUAUAAAAUUAUUUGUUACUAAAUUGCAUCAUAUGCUAAAAUCACCUGAAACCUAAUUCCAUAACUAACCCUUUAUUUUUAGUUCUCAAGAAAUCUUGUAAGAACAAAAAUCUUUUAUAACAAAACUUUUACAACACAUUAAUUUGUAACUCAUUCCUGUGCGCGAAUCACUCUCAAUUUCCUUCAAUUGCUGUUUAACAAUCAUCUACUUAUCAAAAUUCAAGCAUAAUCUUUUUUUUUUAAUUUCUUCAUCAUUCUUUAAAAAAAAAAUCAGGAUAUGCUGUUAAAUUUUGAAAUAAAUAAAUUAACCAAAGUUGGUUGAUGUGAGUGGUUCAAUGAUGAGCAUAAUUUAUAUACAUAUUUUACCUUUAAUUAUAUAAUUAUUAGUUAUUUUUAUUAGUUAUUUUUAAUUAAUUGAAUUAUUUUAUUGCAUAGAGAAUUAAUUGGAGAUUGGGAAACAAAAAGUGCAUAAAGAAUAACAAGUUUGGGAAAGCAUCAAUCAAAGCCGUGACGCAAUUAAGAGUUUAUAGCAUAUGAAGCCAAGAGUAAUUUGCACUCAAAAAGAAUUUCAAUUAUUCAAGUGACCUGGACCUGCAUGGCAUUGUAAUGCAUGGAAAGCAACUUAAAGGGGCCCACACUUGGCUUUUACAAUUGGAAAAAGGAAUCCUAGUGCAAGCUUAAUUGAUGAGCACGUGAGUGAGAGCAAAGAAAAUUAAAAGGCCAAGCCUUUUGGCUUAAGGAAAUAACAAGGUCGGUGGGGCCCAUUUUAAAGAGUAAUAUAAAAGCAAGCUUUUGGCUUUUGGAGAGAGGAGCCGCGAGAGGAGGAAAACGCAAGACAAAGAGAAGAAAAUCUGCAGCAGUUCGGCUUCUAUGGUUGGUUUUAUCUCUUUUGUUACUCUUAAUUCAAAUAUGUCUAGUUAAUUUUCUUAUAUUAAAGUUAAGGAUGAAACCCUAUUCAAUGAAAUAAUUAUCUUUUUAUUUAUUUAAUUCCCAUAUAUGUUCUUUAAUGAUUAUGAUUUUUAUUUCACAUGAUUAAUUGGAUGUUAUUAAAAUUUUUUCAUCAAUUCUGUCAUGCAUUAUUGAUUGUUAGGAUUAAUAUUCAAUUAAAUCUAUACUUAGAUUUAUAACGUUUAUACAUGAUUAUCUUUGAUUCUAUGUCUUUCAUUAAAUUGUUUACAUGGAGUGCUUAGGAAAACUUUGACUCUUUGUUAUUCAAUAUGUUCACAUGGGAUACUUAGAUGUCAUACUAUUAAGCGGAAAAAGAACCUAUAUUAGAUUUAAUUAUUUGGGCUUAAUUGUUAUAUCCAUGAGAUGACACAAAUUGAUUUCGAGUUGUCACUCUAAAAUUAGAGAUUAAUGAAUAUUUAGAUAAUUACUAGUUGAAUAGCGGUGGAUUCUGAAACCUUGGUAAUUUCUAUCUUAUUGAAUUCUCCUUUACUUUAAUUGUUUUCUUAGUUUAAUUAAUUUAAUUUCUUUUAAAACUCAAUUUGCUUAACUAGGUUAGAAUUAAUAUUAAUUUUAGAUUUAAAUUAGACUUUUCAAUUUAUAACAAUCCAUGUGGGAUCGACCUCGUUACCACUACUUUAUUUCUAGAUUCGUGCACUUGCGAGUAUAUUAAAAUUUUCACAACAAGUUUUUGGCGCCGUUGCCGGGGAUUGUGCCAGAAAGUCAGUUUAAUCUAGGUUGAUUUGAUUCUUCCACUAGUUAUAAUUUAUGUUGUCUUUUAUUUUAUUAUUAUUUUUAAUUAACAAAAACACACAAAAAAACUUUUAUUUUUCUUUAAAUUCAUUGUUUGGUUGUUUGAUUUCUUUUAUUUUUUAAAUUUUGUUUAUUCUCAUUAUUGUUGGUUUAUUUUAUUUUAUUUUUUUCUUUCCUUGUCUAGUUAGUUUAUGAGUGUUUGGGAAUGUGAUUCAACAAAUCGUUUGGUAAAAGAGAGUCAAAAAUUGAUAGUAGUCAAGUUAGUUCUUCUGAAGUCAUGGAUGACCCAAAUAGAUUAUUGCCAAUACUUCCACCAGUGCAAGCAGAGAAAACCCUUAGAGAAUAUUUUUCACCACUUGCAGCCAACCAACCAUCUUGUAUUGUGUUGCCACAAACUACAGCAACACACUUUGAACUUUUUGAACUUAAGCCCUCAGUCAUCCAACUUUUACCAUCUUUCCAUGGGUUAGAGAGAGAGGAUCCAUAUUUGCACAUUAAGGAAUUUCUUGACAUAUGCUCUACAUUCCGUUUUCAAAAUUUUAAUGAUGAGUUAAUCAGGCUUCGUAUGUUAUCUUUCUCAUUAAAAGACAAAGCAAAAGCUUGGUUGAAUUCGCUUUCUGCUGGGUCUAUAACUACGUGGGAUGAAUUGAAUAAUAAGUUCCUCACCAAGUUUUUCCCUAUGUCUAAAACAAAUGCCCUUAGGAGAGAGAUAAGUGAUUUCUAUUAAAGAGAGGGUGAGCAAUUUUAUGAGUGUUGGGAAAGAUUCAAUGAUUUACUCCUCAAGUGCCCCCACCAUGGUUUUGAGAAAUGGAGACUUAUACAAUGCUUUUAUAACGGUUUAACCAUGUCGAAUCGUCAUAUGGUAGAGUCUAUGAAUGGUGGGAGAUUUUUGAACCUACAUGAAGGGGCUGCAUGGGAUUUCUUUAAUUCACUUUCUGAGAAUUCUCAACAGUGAGAUUUUUCAAGCCAAAGGGAAAAAUCAUCUCAAGUUUCUAGAAAGGGGUUAUAUGAAGUUAAGGAUGAUUUUGAUGUGAAAUCCACUCUAAUUACACUUUCUAGAAAAGUAGAUGCCUUAGCUCUGAACCAAUCAAUGAAUCAUCAUCCUAGUGUAGCUAAUGAGGUUUGUGCUAUUUGUUCUAACUUGUCUCAAACAGCACAAAACUGUCCAUCAUUACCAGUCUAUCCAGAGGCUUAUUCUGAGCAGGUACAUGCCUUACAAUCAUAUGAGAAAACCUCCAAUAAUACAUAUUCACUCACAUAUAAUCCUAAUUGGAGGAAUCACCCUAAUUUUUCUUGGAAACAAAAUCAAUCUUUGUCAAACCAAGGAGGACAACAAUUUAACAUGCCCAAUCAACAAUUUGUCCCUCCUAACCAAGUAUAUCCUCCUGCCCAACAACCUAUAUCUCAAUUUGUUACACCCCAACAAAGAAAACCUUCUUUAGAGGAUACACUUCAAAGUUUCAUUCAGUCAACCUAAUAAGCUUUUCAGUCAAACACUCAAGCUAUUCUAAAGCUUGAACAUCAAUUGGGUCAAUUAGCAACUACUGUAGCGGAGAAAGAAAAAAGAAAAUUCCCCAGUCAAUCAAUUCCUAAUCCUAAAGGAGUGCAUGAAGUUGGAUCGAGUUCAAGCCAUCAGCAUGAAGAAGCAAAAUCAAUUAUGACCUUGAGAAGAGGAAAAUUGUUUGACAACAAAGUGGAGGUUCAAACAAAGAAGACAUCUGAGCCUACUUCUUCAGAUCCAAUUACAUCACAAGAAUCAUCACCAAAUGAUCUUGAAGAGAGUGACCCGCUAGCUUACAUUCCCAAGGCUCAUUUUCCUCAAAGGUUAACAAAGGUAAAGAAAGGGACUUCAACAUGUGAGAUUAUAGAAAUCUUCAAGCAGGUAAGUAUAAACAUCCAUUUACUCGAUGCUAUUAAGCAAGUUCCUUCCUAUGCCAAGUUUUUGAAAGAUUUAUGCACUAAAAAGAGAAAUUUGCAUGUCACUAAAAAGGCGUUUUUAACUGAACAAACUAGCAAUUUACUUCAAUGUAAAAUGCCACCAAAAUUUAAGGAUCCUGGUUCUCCUACUAUUUCAUGUGUUAUAGGGAACCAAUGUUUUGAUAAAGCAUUAUUGGAUUUAGGUGCUAGUGUUAAUCUCUUACCUUAUUCCAUUUACAUGCAGCUUGGACUAGGUGAGUUAAAAUCAACUCCUAUUAUUUUGCAACUUGCUGAUAGGUCAAUGAAAAUACCUCGUGGUAUUAUAGAGGAUGUGUUGAUACAGAUUGACAAAUUUUAUUAUCCUGUUGAUUUUAUUGUUAUUGAUACUCAACAUGUACAUGAUCUUAAGAAACACACUCCACUUAUUCUUGGUCGUCCUUUCUUAGCUACAGCUGAUGCUCAUAUUAGUUGCAGGACUUGAAACAUGCAAUUGUCUUUUGGUAACAUGACCAUGGAAUUAAAUAUUUUUAAUGUUCCCAAGCAGGCACAAGAAGAUGAUGAAGUCGUUGAAGUAGAUAUGAUAGAAGCAUCAAUUGAUGACUCACUUAUUUCUAACCAUUGUGACAAUCCAUUAAUACCUUGCACAACUGACUCUGAUUUCUCUAUUGAUGUUGAUAGUGAUAUUGAAGAAGUUAAUGCUUUACUUGAUUCGACUCUUAUCAUAGAUCUAAUUAAGUGGAAAGAAAAGAUAAGAUUGAGCCACUUCCUCCUGAAGAGAAAAGUGCAACAUAGGUCACAUUCUGACAUAAAAAAGGUGGUAAGAUCUAAAACGCUUAAAUUAUUAGAUUUUUAUACUACUUUAGAUAACUCUCAGGAAAGCUUAGAACAGAAGAGAUCAAAGCAAUGCGAUAUUGAGGAGUUUCAUUACCAUCAUCCUUUUAUGGAUAAAAUGCUCCAGUGCUUAAUCAAUUAUGCUUUUUGGUAUUUUCUAUAUAAUUGCUUUAAUUUUCACCAAAUUCUUAUUGAUCCUGGUUGAUUUGUUGUUUACAUUAAUUAGUUAGUUAGUCGGAUUUUUUUAUUAUUAUUUAUAUUUCUUCUAACGUUUUCUUUUGAGUUGUCAUUCUUUUAAGUUUUCCUAGCUCAGUCAGGUGUGUUCUCUCCAACUUUCUCUUUUAUUAUUUAUGUUUUUAUUUUUCAUCUUUUUGCGUGCAUAUCUUUUAUUUAUGACACAUUGAGGACAAUGUUCCGAAUAAGUUUGGGGGUGGGAAUAAUGUUGCUUUGUUUGUUAAAAAAAACUAAAAAAAAAUUUCAAAAAUUCAAAAAAAAAUUGUGUUUUUUUUGUUUUUACGUGAAAAGCCAAUGAUAAAAACUUGAUUGACAAUGAAUAUGGUUUUUAGAAAGGGUUUAAUAUUGUCUUAAUUUAUACUUGAUUCUUAUGUUAGUUCCUCUUGAUUGAGAUUCUUUAAAAUAUAAGCACUAAUAUCAAUUCUUUCAUAAUUUUGACUUGAAAUUUGAGAUUGACGCAGCCUGAGUUGAGAAUUUUAGAUAGAGUAAAUGACUGUUUGUCUUUAUUCUUAUCUCCACAAUACAAAAUAGUAUACACAGGCACCAAAGUCAGAAAUAACUACCUAUAAUCCUUAAGAGUGAAGCUAUCCUUGAGUAAUUUAGGCCUAUGUACCACAAGUAUGUAGAGGAUAAUCUACCAUGAGAAGAAUGCUACCUUAAGGGGUAGAGUGAAAGCUCCUGACUAUGGUUAAAAAAAAAAGAAGAAGAAAAAGAGAAAGAAAAAAUCAAAUCAAGUGCAUGUGCUGAAAAAAAAAUCAAAAGAAAAUGCACAUAAAAGCCUGUGAAAAAAAAAUUGGAGAUUAAGAUGAUAAGAUUAGCUUGACCUACUCUUUUCUUUUUUUGAGGCGAAGGUUGUUGAUAUUGAAGAUUUUAGGAAUGAAUUUGAUUGAAUUGAUUUCACACACACACAACAAGAAUCGAAAGAGAGAUGGGAUUGAUUAUUGAAUUAAAGUUAGAACUUUGCCAAUAUUUGAAAUUUUGUUUGAGCUAUAUAAUUUAUGCAAUCUUUGAGGGUAUUUUCAUAUUUUAUUUAAAGUUUUUUUUUCUUUUUAUUUUAUUUUAUUUAUUUUUUAUUUUUUUAAAAUGAUGUUUGUGGGUGUCAUCACUGAAGCUCUCACGAGACUAUAACUCGUCCACUAGGGGUUUAAAGGCUUGUUGCAUACGCUAAAUGCAAUCGCGAUUACCUGCGAAAAUGGUUUAGUUAGGAUUUACUUUUUGUUUUGUUAUUUUUUUUUUUUUUUUUAGUUUUAGCUUUGCUCGAGGACUAGCAAAAUCUAAGUUUGGGGGUAUUUGAUGAGCAUAAUUUAUAUACAUAUUUUACCUUUAAUUAUAUAAUUAUUAGUUAUCUUUAUUAGUUAUUUUUAAUUAAUUGAAUUAUUUUAUUGCAUAGGGAAUUAAUUGGAGAUUGGGAAACAAAAAGUGCAUAAAGAAUAACAAGUUUGGGAAAGCAUCAAUCAAAGCCAUGACACAAUUAAGAGUUUAUAGCAUAUGAAGGCAAGAGUAAUUUGCACUAAAAAAGAAUUUCAAUUAUUCAAGUGAUCUGGACGUGCAUAGUAUUGUAAUGCAUGGAAAGCAACUUAAAGGGGCCCACACUUGGCUUUUACAAUUGGAAAAAGGAAUCCUAGUGCAAGCUUAAUUGGUGAGCACGUGAGUGAGAGCAAAGAAAAUUAAAAGGCCAAGCCUUUUGGCUUAAGGAAAUAACAAGGUCGGUGGGGCCCAUUUUAAAGAGUAAUAUAAAAGCAAGCUUUUGGCUUUUGGAGAGAGAAGCCGCCAGAGGAGGAAAACGCGAGACAAAGAGAAGAAAAUAUGCCGCAGUUCGACUUCUAUGGUUGGUUUUAUCUCUUUUGUUACUCUUAAUUCAAGUAUGUCUAGCUAAUUUUCUUAUAUUGAAGUUAAGGAUGAAAUCAUAUUCAAUGAAAUAAUUAUCUUUUUAUUUAUUUAAUUCCCAUAUAUGUUCUUUAAUGAUUAUGAUUUUUAUUUCACAUGAUUAAUUGGAUGUUAUUAAAAUCUUUUCAUCAAUUCUGUCAUAUAUUAUUGAUUGUUAUGAUUAAUAUUAAAUUAAAUCUAUACUUGGAUUUAUAAAGUUUAUACAUGAUUAUCUUUGAUUCUAUGUCUUUCAUUAAAUUGUUUACAUGGAGUGCCUAGGAAAACUUUGACUCUUUGUUAUUCAAUAUGUUCACAUGGGAUACUUAGAUGUCGUACUAUUAAGCGGAAAAAGAACCUAUAUUAGAUUUAAUUAUUUGGGCUUAAUUGUUAUAUCCAUGAGAUGACAUAGAUUGAUUUCGAGUUGUCACUCUAAAAUUGGGGAUUAAUGAAUAUUUAGAUAAUUACUAGUUGAAUAGUGGUGGAUUCUGAAACCUUGGUAAUUUCUAUCUUAUUGAAUUCUCCUUUACUUUAAUUGUUUUCUUAGUUUAAUUAGUUUAAUUUCUCUUAAAACUCAAUUCGCUCAACUAGGUUAGAAUUAAUAUUAAUUUUAGAUUUAAAUUAGACUUUUCAAUUUAUAACAAUCCCUGUGGGAUCGACCUCGUUACCACUACUCUAUUUCUAGAUUCGUGCGCUUGCGAGUAUAUUAAAAUUUUCACAACAUUCGGCACUCUCACUCCUUAAGAGAGGUCAGGGGUUCAAGCCUCGCUCUCGUAUGGAGUCACCACUUUGACCAGCACUUUACCCCUUACAGACCGACCCGGUGCGAGCAUGAAUUAGUCUGGGUUGUGGUACGGGCUUAAAGGUGCCUCCCACAAUUGAGACCCACUCAGGACCACCUCGUGGUUCGGACAAAAAAAAAAUUGAAAUAAAUUAUCUCAAAAUAAUUACUAACCAGAAAAAACAAAGGGGUUUAACUAGGUUAUGCAUACCUUUGAAAAUUAUAUGUUGAUCGAUAAGCAUGAUGAUCACGAUUGAGGAGUUUAAUUAAAAUUUAUAAGAUUUUAAAAUUAAUCAGGGUUAAAUUCUAAAUUUUAGAAAGAGAGGUUUUGUGAGAAUGCUGAAAGGGUGUUAAUAGUUCCACUCUUUUUUAAAAAAACCAUAGUCAUCAUUUUUCCCGAUUUCUUCUUCCCAUCUCCAUCUUAUUUAGAAAUUUCCCAGAGCCUUUGUUUCCCACCAUUCAUUUUUCUUCUUUCUAAUUUAAGAUUAUAGUAUUAUAAAAAUAAUUACUCACAUUUUAUCAAACACCUCCAUUAUACCAAGGCCUUGUUUUAGUAGUAGGCUUUUAUUAUCUCAAUAAAAUUGAAAAAACAAAGCUCAAUAAUAUUGGAAAAAAAACCUACCCAUAUUUGUAACUUUAAUUUAUUAUUCUCCAUAGACCUACUUUUUAGCUUUGAAUUUUGUUGGAGCCAUAUAUAAACAGAAUAUGUUGAAAUCAGCACAAAAAAAAAACUAAUUAUAUAAUUUUUGUUCCCAAGGACACGACUGUGUGAUUUUUAAGAAGUUUUGUUUGGCUGGCCACUUAGGUUUAAAUCUUGGUGGAGAUUAGGGGUUAAGAAAUAAAUUUGGACUUUGCACACCCCUUUAACUUUUAAAAAGAAUGAAAAAAACUAAUUAAUUAAUCUUUAUUUUAUUUAUUAAAUGUCAUAAUCAUAUGCAUAUUUUAUUUGUUAUCUUUCUAUUUAAAAGAUAGGAGGGCAAAUAAAACUGAAAUAAAUGUUUAUCCCUAUCUCCAUCUUUCAAGUUCCAUAGUUAGGUGACCAGCUAAAGAAAAUUAAUUGAAAGUUACUCCAUCAAAUUAAAAAAAAUUAUUUAUUUAAUUUGUGGAGAUGUAGAAAAUCAAACCCCAUACCUUUUCGCAUGCAAAAGUGUCAACCUGGUCUAGCUAUGUUGCAACAGUAAACAUAUUUUAAUACAUGACUAUCAUCUUUUAUCCUAAAUACUACUAUAACUAUGGGUUCAGUUAUGCUGUAACUGUGGUAUGGUACCACAGUUGUUUUCAACCAUUAAAUUCAACUUAUAUAACUAUGCAACUGUAGAUCUAACGGCUGAAAGCAACUAUGGUACCAUACCACAGUUGCAACAUAGUUUUGCCCCUAUAACUCAUAACAUUCAAUUGAAAUAAUAAAUGUUAACACUUGGCUAUAAAUAAAGGUUUUGUACUUGAAUCUUCAUGCAUGACCUUCAUUCCUUUAUUGACUUUGCUAACACAGAUUUUGAGGCAUUAAAACUAAAUAAUAAUUGACUUUGUGGGCCGAGGAUGCCAGCAACAAGGAGACCACAAUUAUCACUAGUUAAGUUACUCUAAUUGCCGUUGUCUUAUAUUCAUAAAAUAUUAGUAAUAAGAUUAUUGUAGAAUUUUUUUAUAUUAAAAUUAAGUCAAUUUGUUAUAACAAAUUUAGUUGAGUUUAAUCGUGUUACUACAUACAUUGAAUAAUAAUAGAAUUCUCGACAAAUAUUUCAAUAUUUUUAUCCCAAGCGUUGGAGUGGCAUUUAUUUGUUAGACAAUCGAUUUUAGAACUUAUAAAAUUAUUCGUUACUGAAUUGCACCAUAUGCUGCAUGACCUGAAACUUAAUAAACGGAACGUAGCGUUGGCAACAUUCACUGUCAUGACUUUGUGACAUUAGAAUUAAAUUUUUUUGCACAUUUAAUUUGUUUACUUCCAAAUUAAUAUUUAACAAAAUAUUUUUUCACAUUAUCAAUGGACAAAACUCCAACGAAAAUAACUAUACAAUAUAUGCUAGUAUUGUAUGCCAUAUCAUCUGUAAUUUUGUCAGGAUCGAUCAUUUUAAUUUUUAAGCAAAACUUUUUAUCAAUGGACAAACACCUCACACAGCUUGUCAGAGGCAUUAUUAUGAUGGAAAACUGAUAAACAGUGAACUCGAAACUCAAUUACUACAAGUCGUUUAGAGGAUUCAGUCUUGGAUGACUUGUCACUUGUGGAAUUCUUGAAGCCAGAACCGACAUAAUCUCAGUCGUCAUUCUGUCUUAAGUAAUACACAUGGUUUGCAUGUGUGUUGAAGCUGACUCUUUGCUUGGAUCAAGAAACGACGUCUUUGAGUGCCGUUUCUUAAACACACUUUAAAUCAGCUUGUGUCAAGCACGUGAGGUAGAGCUUUUUGAAUAGAUUUGGCGGGAAUGGUAGUUAGUGUAACAACCCAGAAAUAGAGGUUAAAAGGUGAAGGCUUUGUCAUCAUCUACACAUGAUUUGGGAAACAUUGAGAGUAGAGAAAAAGAUAGAGAGAGAAAGGGGUUAACAAGUUCUUGUUCUCUGUAAAUCGAUUUAUAUUCUUGUAAAGUUUGUGAUCUCAAUUAGUGAAAGACUGUUGCUUUGUUUCCAGUGGAUGUAGGCACCACUUCUUGGUGCUGAACCACUUAUACUUGGUGUCAUAUUGUUUCUUUAAUGCUUUGAUUCUUGCGUGUGAUUGUUGCUGGAUAAUCUGUGCUGUUAAUUCUCAAACCAUUGAUACAGAAUUAAUGUCUUGGGGAGAAUUUGGUUAGUCUUAUCAAAGCCGAAUUCACAACAAAUUGGUAUCAGAGCCCUCUUUUCUGUAUCAAGGUUCAAGAAAUGACUAACAAGGUGGAUCUUGAGAAGUUCAAUGGUCAGAAUGAUUUCAAUAUGUGGAGGAUCAAGAUGGAAGCAUUGUUAAUCACACAAGGUCUGGGAGAUGCCAUUGAUCCAGUCAUUAAGAGUGAAAAUGCAGAAGCCUAUUCUUCAAGAACUCCAGAACAGAUGGCUAAGAUUGAAAAAAAGGCAAGAAGCACCAUCAUCCUCAGUCUUGGUGACUUAGUGAUAAGGGAAGUUGCCAAGAAAAAGACUGUUGCUAGGCUCUGGGCAAAACUGGAACAAUUGUAUAUGACAAAGUCCUUAGCAAACAGGCUAUACAUCAAGAAAAAGAUGUUCUCACUGAGGAUGAUUGAAGGAGCAUCACUUGAUGAACACAUAGAUGAGUUUAAUAAAGUUUGUGAUGAACUGGAAACAAUUGAUGAAGGACUGAGUGAUGAGAGCAAGGCUUUGCUGUUAAUCAGUUCUUCACCAAAAUCAUAUGAACAUUUUGUGGAUGCCUUGUUAUAUGGAAGGCAAUCACUCUCCUUGGAAGAGGUUAAAUCUACUCUUGGUACCAAGAAGUUAAAAGAAAAACAAGAUAACUCAGAGAGUGAAUCAAGUGAAGGGCUGAUGGCAAGGGGCAGAUCUGAAAAAAAGGAGUACAAAGGAAAAAAACAAGGGAGAUCAAAGUCAAAGCAGAAACAUUUGAAGUGUUUUCACUGCCACAAAGAAGGGCAUUUCAAGAGGGAUUGCCCUGAGAGAAAAACAAAGCAAAAGGAAUCAAAAGACAAAUCUGGAAAUACAGCAAUAGCCACAGAAGAAACCAGUUUUGAGAUAGCUGAAGUCCUCAUUGCCACAAAAGAAAAAAACUCAAGGUCAGUGGGUACUAGACUCUGGAUGUACUUUUCAUAUGAGUCCAAAUAGAAAUUACUUUACUACAUAUCAGUCCUGUGAUGGGGGUAUGGUGCUGAUGGGAAAUAAUUCAGUUUGUAAAGCAGUUGGGAUUGGGACUGUAAGCCUUAAGAUGUAUGAUGGCAUGGUUAGAGAACUAACUCAGUUUAGGCAUGUUCCUGAGCUUAAAAGGAACCUAAUAUCUAUUGGCAUGCUUGAUCAAACUGGAUGUGUCAAUAAGGCUGAAAAUGGGUCAUUGAAAGUUAUCAGAGGCUCAAUAGUCAUAAUGAAAAGUUCCAAGCAAAAUGGUUUGUAUGUGUUGAAUGGACAUACAACUGUUGGAGAGGCAAGUGUCACUGAGAAGAGUGAAGACAAAGCAAGACUAUGGCACUUGAGGUUGGGGCAUAUGAGUGAAAGGGGAUUGAAGGAGCUUCAAAAGAAUGGGGUGUUUGGAAGUGACAAGCUAAGUUCUUUGGGGUUCUGUGAAGACUGUAUCCUAGGGAAGGCUUCCAAUCUCAAGUUUGAAUCUGCAGUUCAUUCUACCAAAGAGAAGCUUGCAUAUAUACACUCUGAUAUGUGGGGGCCUGCACAGGUAAAUUCUCUUGGUGGCUUUAAGUAUUUCUUAUCCUUAAUAGAUGACUAUUCAAGGAUGGUUUGGGUGUAUGUACUCAAAACCAAAGAUGAAGCUUUGGAAAAGUUUUAGAGGUGGAAAAUUCUGGUAGAAACACAGACAAGUUUGAAAGUAAAAGCUCUAAGAACAGAUAAUGAAUUGGAAUUCUGCAACAAAGAGUUUGGAGACUUUUGUAAAAGACAUGAGAUUAUGAGGCACAAAACAGUCAUACACACACCUCAGCAAAAUGGUUUUGCUGAGAGAAUGAACAGAACCUUAAUGGACAAGGUGAGGUGUAUACUGCUAUACUCAAAGCUGCCUAAGUCACUCUGGGCAGAGGCCUUAAACACAGCAUGUUACUUGGUAAAUAUAAGUCCAUCUACAGCAAUAGAAUGCAAAACACCUAUCGAGCUAUGGUCUGGAAGGGUUGCAGAUUACUUUAAACUGAGAAUCUUUGGAUGUGUUGCUUAUGCAUAUGUCAAACAAGGCAAAUUGGAGCCAAGAGCUUUAAGGUGUAGAUUUCUAGGAUACCCUGAUGGAGUUAAAGGCUAUAGGCUAUGGUGCAUUGAUUUGAAGCCACCAAAAUGCAUUAUCAGCAGGGAUGUAACUUUCAAUGAGUCAGAAAUCUUGAACAAAUCCAAAACCACUUAAUCCAAAGAUCAUAUAUCAGAAACAAGACCUGGGAGUGUUCAGUUUGAGGUGGAGUCCUAUGAACAAGAUAGGACUGAAUCAGAAACUGAAGGAGAUUCAGGAAGGGUUACUGAUGGAUUUGAUGUUGUUCAGGAGUCAGAGCCAGCUGAGAAUGAAGAUAAUUCUUAUCAGUUGGUCAGGGAUAGAAAGAAGAGAGCUGUAAGACCACCUAAGAGGUAUACAAUAGCAGAUUUCAUAGCUUAUACAUUAACAGUUGCACAAGAGGUAAAUGAGGAAGAGCUAAGAACCUAUAAAGAAGCUAUAAACAGCAUGGAUAAGAUGAAAUGGAAGGAGGCUAUGGAUGAGGAAAUUGAAUCACUAAUGAAAAAUGGAACUUGGAAGCUGAUAGUUAGACUAGAAAAAAGGAAGACUGUUAGCUGCAAAUGGAUCUUCAAAGUUAAGGAAGGUAUAUCUGAUGCUGAACCUAGUAGGUUUAAAGCUAGGCUGGUAGCAAGAGGCUUCACACAAAGAGAGGGGAUUGAUUUCCAUGAAAUCUUCUCUCUAGUUGUGAAACAUGCCUCCAUCAGAGUCAUCUUAGCUUUAGUUGCCAUUCAAGACAUGUACCUGGAGCAUAUGGAUGUUAAAACAGCCUUCCUGCAUGGUGAAUUACAAGAAGAAAUUGUAAUGGAACAGCCUGGGGGGUAUGUGGUGUCUAGUAAGGAAAAUCAUGUGUGCUUACUAAAGAAAUAUUUAUAUGGAUUAAAGCAGUCUCCUAGGCAAUGGUACUUGAAGUUUGAUAGUUUUAUGACAAAACAUGCCUACAAGAAAUGCAAUUAUGAUUGUUGCGUGUACUUUAGGGACAUUGGUGAUGGAAAGAUGAUUUAUCUUAUGCUGUAUAUGGAUGACAUGCUUAUAGCAUGUCACAGCAUAGAUGAAAUCAGUCAUUUAAAGAAUCUCUUGAGCAGUGAAUUCGAUAUGAAAGAUCUUGGAGCUGUAAGGAAGAUCUUAGGUAUGGAAAUUAUCAGAGACAGGAGAAGGAAGCUUAUGUUUUUAACCCAACAGAGCUAUGUUAAGAAGGUGUUGCUUAGAUUUGGGAUGCAUGAAUCCAAGUCUGUUCAAACACCUUUGGCAAAUCACUUCAAGCUGUCUGCUGCACAUUGUCCACAAACUGAUGCAGAGCAAGGAAAAAUGGCAAGGAUACCUUACUCCAGUGCAGUUGGGAGCCUCAUGUAUGCCAUGGUUCUCACUAGACAUGAUAUCUCACAUGCUGUGAGUAUAGUGAGUAGAUUCAUGGCAAAUCCAGGUUAUGAGCAUUGGAGGGCAGUCCAGUGGAUAAUGAGGUACCUGAAAGGCACUAUGGAGUUUGGUCUGCUAUAUGGAGGGUUAAAACAGGAAGGGCACAAGCUGGUGGGGUAUGUUGACUCAGACUUCGCUGGAGAUCUUGAUAAAAGGAGGUCUCAGACAUGUUUUAUAUUCACUUUGGGAGGCUGCACUGUGAACUGGAAAGCUACUCUGCAAAGUGUGGUAGCUUUGUCCACAACUGAAGCCGAAUAUACAGCAGCUGCAGAAGCUUUUAAGGAAGUCAUCUGGUUAAAAGGAAUGGUCUCAGAGUUAGGAGCAAAACAAGAAACAGUUGAAGUAUACUGUGAUAGCCAGAGUGCAAUACAUUUGAGUAAAAACCAGACCCAUCAUGAAGGAACAAAACAUAUUGAUGUAAAGCUUCAUUUUGUAAGACUUGAAGUUUCAAAGGGAACUGUGAAGAUGCUCGAGGUUCACACUGAUCAAAAUCCAACCGAUAUGUUGACUAAAGCUGUGCCUUCUGCCAAGCUCAACUUCUGUUUGAGCUUAGCAGGAAUUUGCAGUUUCUGAUCAGCUGCAAAAGAAAGGGAAUAAAGUAUACAGGAGUAGCUAGAGUUCAGAGUUCACACUGAUUAAAAGGUGCAGGCUUUGUCAUCGUCUACACAUGAUUUGGGAAACACAGAGAGUAGAGAAAAAGAUAGAGAGAGAAAGGGGUUAACAAGUUCUUGUUCUCUGUAAAUCGAUUUCUAUUCUUGUAAAGUUUGUGAUCUCAAUUAGUGAAAGAUUGUUGCUUUGUUUCCAGUGGAUGUAGGCACCACUUCUUGGUGCUGAACCACUUAUGCUUGGUGUCAUAUUGUUUCUUUAAUGCUUUGAUUCUUGCGUGUGAUUGUUGCUGGAUAAUCUGUGCUGUUAAUUCUCAAACCAUUGAUACAGAAUUAAUGUCUUGGGGAGAAUUUGGUUAGUCUUAUCAAAGCCGAAUUCACAACAAAAACUGUAAUGGUAUAUCUUGAAUUAUUGGUAGAAUAGUUCUUUGGAGCAAUAAAAACAGAUAAGACAGAUGAGAAAAUUGUCAAUACCCCACCGCAAAAGCAAAAGAAAACAAGGAAAGGAGACAAAAGAGGAAGAAGAAAAAGAAAAAAGAACGAAGAAAAAAAUGGUGCCGUGCGGUAUAGGCAAGAAGAAAAAAUAAUAAAAAAUAAUAAAAUAAUAGUGCACAACAAUCAUUUGAUUGCUAUAAAUAAAAGGCGUUUCCCUCAUUUUAUUCAUCGAAUUCUUCAGUUCCUUUCAAGCGAUUUAAGAGUCUAGUGAUUUGAGAGUUUGGGUGUAGUAUGAUUUUGGGUAGUGAGCUAAAAUACUACAAUACUUGUAACUCAUUUUUAUUAGUAAAAUAUUUUCCUUCUGACUUCGCCCGUGGACGUAUGCUAAAAGCCGAAUCACGUAAUUUCUGGUGUCCCUAUGUGAUUAUGUGUCUCAUUAUUUCUUAAUUUCACUUUAGUUGCGUGUCUGCGACACCCCUCAAUUUAUUAACAAAAAAUGGCCAAAAUUAUAUAAGUGACCCAAAUUUUUUUGUUAUUUCCAAGAAAUCCCCAAUCUGAAUGGGCUAGACCAGAGGGAGGCAAGUUAGAAAUACAUUUCCUUCAUAGACAAUAACAGUGAUGAGUCGAUGACAUCAAGCCACGUCGGUAUCAAUAUUGAAUUAAAGGUGCAAUUAUUCAGCCAAUGAACCUUACACAUCAAGAUAAAAGUCAAGAAAAUGAAAAUUUAUCCCAAUUAAAACACUUUCUGGCUGCAUUUAGUUGUUUCCAUUAGAAGUUAAAAACAACGUUUCUUUCGUUUUGUGGGCAACUCAACUGAGUUAGCUGGCUUCUAGUGCUAGUAUGUGAAAAUAGAAGGCUAAUGAUUUAUUUAUUAUCUUUUGACAAAAUUAUUAAAGAUAUAAUAGAUUUUCUAUGAUACAAGUGAAAAAUCACAUCAACAUAGCUUUCAAUCUACAGCAGCUAGCGUUUACCAAACACUUUGUUGUAGCUUUUAAGCUAUAGCUGCCCAACCUCAAUCUCAAACGCACCCUUAAUAGGUUGAUUGAAUUUGUGAGAUAUGGAUUCCACAUAUCUCAUGACCUAGUAAUUAUACAAGUGGUUCGUGAUCAAGACACAACAUUUGCUUCCGGCCUAGUGACCCAGCAAUCGCUGCACUGGUCGCCACCUAUGGUGCCGACGAUAUUGCAUGGUCCAAUUGUGGCCUUGAAUGGAAAAAGUUGAGCAAAUUAUUUGUGGACACGAUGAUAAGUAACGCAAGCCUUGAUGCUAGUUAUGGUCAAAGAAAACAAGAGGUUAAGAAUACUAUCAGAGAUAUUCAUAACAACAAAAAGGAAAAAAAAAAGGCAUUUGCAAGCCCAUUGAUAUUGGUGAAUUGUCGAUUUCAACUUUGGCAUGUGUAAUCCAGAACCUGCGCGCUGUGGUAUGGCGCUGGCACGCUUGCAUUAACGAGGGGACAAGUCUUGGGGCUGAGCUAACAUUUAAGCUCGCAGAACUCAUGGUGCUAAUGGGAACACCAAAUAUUUUUUUGACAUAUUUUGGUGCUUUCAUGGUUUAAUUCAAGGUAUAGAAAGGAGUGUUGAGAAUGUCAAAUAAAACGGCAUUGAAUGGAAGUUGUCAAAGACACGAUCCGCACCGAACGGCAACGACACGGUUGCUAAAAAUCCUUCCAUAAUAUGCAUAUCUAAUUUUUUAAAAAGUGUAACCUCUGCAUUUAUAAAUAUACUCAAUGUAUAAUGUUUUACUUAAGAAAUGAAAAACUUGUUUGUUCAAGGAGAAUAAAGAAAAUUUUUCUAUGAUUUUUUUAUGGUUUGAACAAAGAAGGUUUUAAUGAGUAUUAUAGACCUCGAUUGAAUGUUCGAAUGUAUAAUAAAAGAGAAACUGUCACAUAAAUGACAAAGAUACUUGGAAAAAAAAAAAGGGCAGCAAUAGAGAAUUAGAUUCGACUGCACAAAUAACUAGUUAAUUCAUCAAUACAUCAUUUUCUUGCUAGAAAAUGACAAUUAUGACAGCAAGCCACGAUAGUGUCAAUAUUGAAAUUGAUUUGCAAUUAUUCAGCCAAUGUGCCUUACACGUCAAGAUAAAAGUCAAGAAAAUGAAAGUUAAUAUCAAUUAAAACACUUCCUGGGCCGCAUUUAGCUCCAGUUUUUGUGGUAGGAAAACAAAGUUUUGUUUUAAAUUCACAUGGUGUGCACUUCCUAUAUAAAUCUAGAGUUGUGUCCCACGUUGAACAAUAAAGGAAAGUCACCUAAAUAUACAUGUAGGAUAAGUUACUUUAUUUAGUAAGUUUGUAUUUUCUUCUUUCUUCUAGUUUACAUAUAAAUUUGAUUAGAUAACUUAACACAUAUUUUAAUACUUGAUCAGAAGCCCUACGUACAGGUGGAUCUAGAAACUUGAUUUCUAAGAGUAAUACUAUAAUAAAAAAAUAAUGAUUCAUAGAACCAAUAUCAAAAUUUGUUUACAAGAUUACCCCCACUCAAAGGUAAUUUUCAUAGAAAUUAAUAGGAAAUUUAAUUGUUAGUGGGGUCAAAUUGCCCCCACACUCUGAAUGUAGAUCCACGCCCGACCCUGAGUCAAGUAUAUUUUGCCACAUAUACUCUGAAUGUCGGCAGGAAAAAUCUUCCACUUUAGUUUAAAAUUUUCACUUAAAAUUUAUUUACGUUAAUAAAGUUGGUAAAGGAAAUGAGUUUAAUUAAAGAAUAUUAUAGGAGAAAUUCUAUUGUUUGGCUUUUAAUAAAUUAAUUAAUAGGUUUAAAAAGAUUAAUAUACAUCAAAAUAUUAUUAGUUGGUGGUGGUUCCACAUCGGACUAAGACGUGGCACCUUACUUGUGAGAUUAAGACAAUCAGGCUUAGACUAUUUAAAUAUGUUUGAAGCUUAGAUGGCACCGCUUCAAUUUGCAUUAAUGAAUGUCAUUCUUUACCCUAAUUACUACGUAAUUGAUAACAUGCAAUUGAAAUAACUAAUAUUAGCACUUGGCUAUAAAUGAACUAAAGGCCGUGCAAUUGAAUCUUUACUUGAUCACUUCAUUCCUUUAUUUUGCUAACACAGAUUUUGAGAUAUUAAAACGAAAUAAUAAUUGAAUCUGGCUUUGUGGGUCGAUGAUGCCAGCAACAACGAGACCACAAUUAUCACUUGUUUAUUUGCUGUAUUUGACGUUGUUUCAUAUUGGUAGUAAUAACUAAUAAGGUCGUUGUAGAGUUUUUAAUCUUUUUUUUUAUAUUAAUCACGAGGUAUCCUGGGGAGGGCCCCAACUGUGGGAGGCACCUUUAAGCUCGUACCACAACCCAGACUAGAAGUCCCCGCUCGAACCGGGAGGCACAGUUUUUAAUCUUUUUUAUAUUAAAGUUAAGUCAAUUUGUUAUAAAUAAAUAAAAAAUUGGUUGAGUUUAAUUAUAUUGCUAUGUACAUUAAAUAAUUAUAAUAUUCUCGAGGGAAAAAGACACCUAGAACCUCAAGGUUUGGGGAAAUGGUCACAAAAACUCCUAAGUUUUAAAAAAGGAACACUAAAAUCUUUUUUUACCCAUAAUACCCUUUGACUAUAGUAAUUAGAAAAUUGACUUUAAAGGUUUUUAAAUAAUACAAAUUUAAUAUAAAUCAUAUAAUCUAUCUAGUACACUAAUAAUAUUAAAUUAUUUUUUAUAUUUAAAAUAAUGUUAAAAAAUUUAAAUUAUUAUAUUUAUUUUAAUAAUAUAUUUAUAAAAUUAUAAAGAUUUUAAAUAAAUCUUUGGAUUGAAUAUAUUUUACAAUUAAAAGUCUUCCUAUUAAUAAUAUUAAAAUUAAAUUUUAAGUAAUAUAUAUUCAAAAUAUUUUUAAUUUAAUUUUAUUUAUUUUAAUAUUAUGUUUCUAUCUAUUAUUAAAAAUUACUUUAAUAUAAUAAAAUAGGUCUAAUAGAUUGAAAAAUAUGAAAAUAUUUUUAAAAUUUUAAAUUAUUUUGAAAUGUAUAUAUUAUUACAUUUAUUUCAAUGUCAUAUUUCCAUUUAUUAUAAAAUUUUGGGGUUAUUUUUUUGGGAAUUUAUAGAGUCAAAGAGCAUUAUGGUUAAAAAAGAGUCUUGGUGUCCCUUAUUGAAAACUUUAGAGUUUUUGUGACCAUUUUCCUAAAUCUUGGGGGUGUUGAAGUGGCACUUAUUGUAAGAUUGAUUUUAAAAUAUGUAAAAUUAAUUUUAUUACAUUACCAUAUGCUACAUCACCUGAAACUUAAUAAAUGGAACGUAGCAUUACUCCACGUUCACCGUUAUGACCUUAUGACAUUAGAAUUAAAAUCUUUCGUACGUUUAAAUUGUUUACUUCCAAAUUAAUCUUUCGUAAAUAUUUUGUACAGAUCUUAUCGGAGUUAGCGUGUUCAUUACAGUGUUUCUUUUCUUUUAUCCUUUCUUUUGAAACGUAUUUCCUGUGGACAAGGAAAGCAAAUAAUACCCUGCCACCAGGACCUCGCGGCUUGCCUGUAAUCGGAUACCUUCCAUUUCUCGGAAUUACUGACUUACACAAGACAUUCACGGAAUUAGCUGGUCUAUAUGGCCCGAUCUUCAAACUCUGGCUUGGCAACAAAUUGUGUGUAGUGGUUAGCUCGCCUUCAACUAGUUCUAUAAGAAUAUCCCUUUUAAGGGAUUCUCUCUCUGCAAAAUUUUUUUAUCUUCUGGUGCAUAAUAAAAACUUAUGCCACUUCAUUAACCACAGAUAUCUUUUGAGGAAACGAUGUUUCGUUUUCUUUUGUUUUUUCCUUCCUAAUCCUCGCAUAUCGUGUGAAGGCUAAUAUAUCCAAGAAUCUAAAUCUCUGUAAAUCUUUUUCUAUCCAAAUCUACAUAAUAAUUUAAUCCAUGCACAAUAUCUAUAAUUAUAUCGGCUGUCGGCUGAUUUCGUGGAGGGGGCGGCAGUUCAAAUUUUUUACGUGCAUGUUGGAUGGACGUCUCUAUUAAAGGAGAGCCACCACUUGCAUGGUAAUUUUUUUAAAUAAAUAUAUACAUUUCAAAAUAUUAUUUCAUUGUUGUAUAGUUAACAUGUCACCUUAGAUGUAUUUUAGAACUUCUCCUAUUAAAGAUAAUCUCAUGCAGUGAUACUUCUCGUGAUCUAAUCAUUAGUAGAAUCUAUAAUUUCGCUACUGUAAUAAAAUCUGUCCCUACCCUAUAUGAAUGUAGAUAUUUGACGCGAUUUGUAAUUGCUUCCGACAGGAAAACAGCAAUAGUUUAAUUGAAAUUUGUGGUAUGGAUUCCACGAAUCUUAUGACAGAAUACUGACCACUCCAACCCUAUCCACAUUUACACGAUUAAAACACAAGCUUAGAUGUGACAAUGCAUUUGUCACUUUUGUUCAAAUUCAUCCUGAAACACUAUACACUAAAUAAUCGAAUAUGGCUUCGUGGGUCGAUGAUGCUAGCAGCAACGAGACUGCAAUUAUCACUUGUUUUGUUGCUGUACUUGUCGUGGUCUAUUUCGCAUGGAAUGUAAACAAAUCAAGUAAAGCAAAUGCUAAAUUGCCACCAGGAUCUCGGGGCUUGCCAGUAGUCGGAUACCUCCCAUUUCUUGGAACUACUGACUUACACAAGACAUUCACGGAGUUAGCUGGAGUUUAUGGUCCGAUCUUCAAGAUUUGGCUUGGGAAUAAAUUGUGUGUAGUGGUGAGCUCGCCUACCCUAGUUAAACAAGUGGUCCGUGAUCAAGAUAUAACAUUCUCAAACCGCGACCCACCGAUCGCUGGAACUGUGACCACCUACGGUGGCAAUGAUAUUGCACUUUCCAAUUAUGGUCCCGAAUGGAAAAAGUUGCGAAAAUUAUUUGUGAGCAAGAUGAUGAGUAAUGCAACCCUUGAUGCUUGUUAUGCUCUAAGAAAACAAGAGGUUAAAAAUACUAUCAGGGAUUUGUACAACAACAAUAAGGAUAAUAUUGGCAGUGGCAAUGGCAAGCCCAUUGACGUUGGUGAAUUGUCGAUUUCAACUUUGGUACGUGUUAUGCAGAACAUGCUGUGGGGUCAAGCAUUGGAAACAAGAGAGAAAGAGAUUACUAAUCUCGGGGCUAAUCUUGCAGAACUCAUGGUGCUACUGGGAACACCAAAUAUUUCGGAUAUUUUUCCAGUGCUUUCAUUGCUUGACAUGCAAGGUAUAGAGAGAAGAGCUAAGAAGAUUUCUCUAUGGUUUGAAAACAUUAUCAAUUCUGGUGUUGAACAGUAUAGAAACAAGUUUUCUGUUGUUAAAGGUGAAGAAGCUGCAGCAGGAAAAAAUAUUGAACGAUCAAGAAAUAAGGACUUCUUGCAGUUACUGUUGGAGCUUCAGGAAAAUGAAGAUAGUGCUUCAUCUAUUAGCAUGAACCAACUAAAGGCCGUGCUCGUGGUAUGUUAAGCAACUAGACACAAAAAGUUGUAAAAGCACAGUGAUAUAUUUGCGCGAGGCCGCGAGUGAUGUUUUGCCUCGAGAACUCUCAAUUUUAUCUUACGGUAAAAAAUGUUUUUCAACUUUUUUUAAUUAGAAUUUUAUUGCAAUUUAUUUAACAGGACAUAAUUGUGGCCGGAACCGACACCACAACUACGAUGGUGGAAUGGACAAUGGCAGAGUUGAUGCAACAUCCACAAGUAAUGAAGAAAGUUCAAGAAGAAUUAGCUCAAGUUGUGGGCAUGGACAGUUGUGUUGAAGAAUAUCACUUGCCUAAAUUAAAUUAUUUAGAUGCUGUGGUGAAAGAAACAUUUCGUUUGCAUCCUGCGUUGCCCUUAUUGGUACCUCGCACGGCAAGCGAGAACAGCAAUAUUGGUGGCUAUACCAUUCCCAACGACACUAAUUUUAUGUUGAAUGUUUGGGCUAUUCACAGGGAUCCUCAACUUUGGGAUAAUCCCUUAGAUUUUCGACCUGAGAGGUUCUUGAAUGAUGAUAUCAUAAGCAAAUUCAAUUACUCGGGUAACAAUUUUCAGUACUUGCCAUUUGGUUCUGGUAGAAGGAUGUGCGCUGGCAUUCCUCUAGCUGAGAGGAUGUUGAUGCUUGUUCUGGCUUCGUUGUUGCACUUGUUUGAGUGGAAAUUGCCCCCGGGCACAAAGCUAGACUUAGCUGAAAAGUAUGGGAUUGUCAUGCGGAAAAAAGAGCCUCUGAUUGCUAUUCCAACACCAAGGCUACCAAAUUCAGAUCUCUACCAGUAAGAUCAAAAUGGUUGUGAUGAUAUUAUUUCCCAUUGUAUUGGAAUAUUUUUGUGUGAUUUGAAGUUCAAUCAUAAUAAAAUAUUUUAAUAAAAUGUCCUCGGUUGCUAAUUUUUCAAUAGUAUACUCUAUCAUCGUUUCUAACUGUCUUUUAGAGCCAUUUGGUCUAAUUUAUUUUUGAAUUAAAAUCCAUAAAUAUUUAAAUUUUUGAAUCAUAUUAAGAAUUAUCUGGAGUGUAUGGUCUGAUCUUCAAGUUCUGGCUUGUAAACAAAUUAGAGUUCUGAUAUUUGCCCCGGGUCAAACCCCGAAAUUAAAUAAAACGGCGUCGUUUUGUUUUUUUUUUUUUUUUUUUCUUUUUUACUUCUUCCAAACGUUGCCAUUUCACUUGUCAUUUGCAAGUGACUCCAUUGAUCCUUAGUUGAAACAGAGUUACACCGUAAAUCUCUUCCUCUUCGUUUCUUCGUUUCACCAGGGAACGAGACAGAUAAAAUCCAGCCAUUCUUCGACAUAACAAGAUAUCGAUUAGAAUCCAACGACAUAACUAUAAACCAUGACAUUGCGCUUGAUUUUGCGAAAUACCGAUUAAGAACCAGUAACUUUGAAUCCAAUGACCGUUAAGAGUUUGAAAUUGGUUUCAAAUGACUAAUGAGUUAUCAGAUUUCUUUGCGUCUACAUUUUCCUUGAAGGUUUCUCAGCAGCCAAACAAAUACAAAGCAAAUUGCAGAAGAAACACAUUUUGUUCCAAUGAAAAAUGUACGGAAACAUUUUAAAUAUGGAAAAUUACCUCAAAAUGAAGGCUCGCAAGAGAUUCGAGCAACAAAUUAGAUCAAAGGAACCGGCGCUGAGCAAGAAAGUGAGCUCAAAGAUUCCGAAACACAAACGUAAAUUCACAAAAAUGCAAAUCUAUGAUGAACGCCAAGAUCAAAAUUUUCGAAGAAAGGGAGCUGAAAAAAUAAAUGAAACGUCAAACUAGAUGACAAUGGAUUUGCUUCUUCAAAGGAGACAAUGAAAUUGUUACUAGAGACAGCUAGAGAAAUAGAGAGAGAGAGAGAGAGAGCUUGAAUUGGCUGUACCCCCACCAGAAAGUGGGUAGUGCCUUUUCCACUUGGACUUGAUAUGCGAAUCUGAAAAAAUCUGAACGAAGGACUGACUCAUCCCAGCUCGAAAGCAAACCAAGCUAGGACUGACUGAAAACGUUGCCGUUUGGAGAAGUUAAAAAAAAAAACUAAACAAAACGACGCCGUUUUGUUUAGUUUCGGGGUUUGACCCGGAAUUUGACCCGGGGCAAACAUCAUUUUCCAACAAAUUAUGCAUGGUCGUGUACACGCUUUCCCUAAUUAAGCAUGAGGUUCGUGAUCAAGGCACAACAUUCACUCCCUGCGACCCAACAAUCGCUACAUUGUUUGCCACCUAUAGUGCCAACGAUUUUGCACGGUCCAAUUAUGGUCCCCAAUCGAAAACGUUGCGCAAAUGUUUUCUGGGCAAGAUGAUAAGUAACGCAAGCCUUGAUGCUUGUUAUGGUCUAAGAAAACAAGAGGUUAAUAUAUAUAUAUAUAUAUAUAUAUAUAUAUAUAUAUAUAUAUAUAAAUUGGCAUUGUCAACUUUUGUAUGUUUUAUUCAGAACCCGCUGUGGGUUGACGCUAGCAUGCUUGCGUUAGGAGACGAGGGGACCAAUCUUGGGGCUGAGCUAAAAUAUAAGCUUGUAGAGAUCAUCUUGCUAAUGGUAAUGUUUUCCGAUGCUGGUUUAAUUCAUGGUAUAAAAAGGAGAACAAAAAAGAUUUUUCUAUGCUUUGAAAAUAUUAUAAUUUUUAUUUUAUAAUUUUUAAUAAAAUCUCUCAUUGAUAGCCAAACAAUUAAAAUUUUUGUAAAGCUUUUGUGGACUUUUGAUCGCGUAUGGUGCCAAUGUAUUGCGUGGUCCUAUUAUGGUUCCAAAUGGAGAAAGUUGCACAAGUUUUUUGAGUACCAGAAGAUCAGUAAUGUAAGCCUUGAUGGUUGUUAUGGUCUAAGAAAACAAGAGGCUAAAAAUUCUAUCUGGGAUUUUUAUAACAACAACAAAAUUGGCAAGCCCAUUGACAUUGGUGAAUUGUCAGUUUCAACCUUGGUAAGUGCGAUUCAGAACAUGCUGUGGGGUGAAACGCUUGAAAUAACAAAGAAAUGGAUUUACUAAUAUUGGGGCUGGGCUAAGAUUUAAGCUUGCAGAACUCACGGUGCUAGAGGGAACACCGAAUAUUUUGGAUAUCUUUCCAGUGCUUUCAUGGUUUAAUAUACAAGGUUUUCAGAGAAUAGCAAAGAAGAUUUCUCUAUGGUUUUAAAAUAUUAUCAAUUCUACUGCUGAACGCUAUAGAAACAACGUCUCUAUUGUCAAAAGUGAAGAAGCAGCAGCAGCAGGGAACAAUAUUGAAGGAAGGAAUAAGGACUUGGUGCAGUUACGCUUGGAGCUUCAAGGUAAAGAAGACAAUGCUUCAUCAAUUAGCAGGACGCAAUUUAAGAGCUUGCUCGUGGUAUGUUGCGCAACUAGCCACAGACAGUUACAGAAACUGAGUUUGGCAGAUUACGACCGUUUCUGGUGAUUACAUAAUUAUUUGUGGCUGUUUUUUUUUUUUAAUUGUAAUUUUCUUAACAGGAUAUAAUUUAGGGUGGAACCAACACCACAACUAUAAUGGUGGAAUGGACAAUGGCAUAAUUGAUACAGCAUCCACAAGUAAUAGAGAAUGUACAGGUAGAACUAAAUCGGGCCGUGGCCAUCGACAGCCAUGUUGAAGAAUUUCACCUAGCUAAGUUAAAAUAUUUAGAUGCUGUGGUGAAAGAAACAUUCUGCACUGUAAUAUAAUACAUGAAUCAUAUGUCCUCUAUUGUUUUUUUAUUUUUCUCUUUUUUUCAAUAGCUUAAUCUAUCAUUAAAAUCUUCUGAAAUUCUAAAUUAAUAUACAUUCAACCUAGAGUUCAAGCCAAAGUUUUAUUGAGCAUUAAAAAAAAAAAAAAUUCUACGACUCAAAAUUUUGUGGAGUAUAAAUUAAAAAUUAUGCGCCUACUAAGAGACAAAAAAUAAAUGAUACACAUUAACCAAUCAAAGGCGAACAAGAGAUUAUUAACAAUAACCUAAUAAUAAAAUUAUAAUGAAUAAAAAAGAAAUGGUACCUAGAAACACAUCACAGCCAUUUAAGCAAUCACUUACCCACAAAAUCCAAACAUAUAAACUAUGUGGGGGGGGGGGGGGGGGGGGGGGGUGUCAUGAUACCUUUGGGUUUCAUGAUAAUCAAAAUUGCAAUACCAUUAAAGACUCAAAAAUAAAAAAAAUCAUAGCCAAUAAAAGAGAAAAAAUAACCCACAAAAAAUCAUCAAGAAAAUAAAUUUGAGACUAAGAGAAGAUAUUAAUUAAACCCUGGGUUGCCUUGGAACCACGGCUUUGGCUUCCAUUUUUCAAUUCUUGGCGACAAGUCAUUUCUUGUUUGUUUACAAAGAUGACGGCUGAUUAAUGAAGCUCUAUUAACAAUGAAUAAAUAAAAAAACUGGCGCCUUGAAAAGACUAACGGUCAUAUUUUUCAACUCCGAAUUAGUGCCGUUUGAUGAGUCCUUGCCAAAACAAUCACUAGGCAAAUAACAAUCAUUUUUCAACCAGCAAAACUCAUUCAUUGUAUUUCACCUUAGUCAAGAUUUAAAAAUUGUUUCAAAAUAAACCUAGUGGUUAGAACCCAAGCGUCACAAUUGUGAGGUCAUGGGUUUGAGCCCCCACAACGUAUUGUGGGGGUUAAUUUUCUUCUUCAAUUUGAGUGAAAACAGUUCUCUCCCUUUCGAAAUGUGGGUGGAGUGGACGUCCCUCAAAUAUUAGAGAGGGUUCAAAUUUGGAUUGUACUAUAUAAGAUUUAUAAAUUAGUCCCAGUAAUUAUCUGAUUGUAAAUAUCAAUAUACUAAUCUAAUUAAAUAUGAGUUGUAAUAUGAGCGUUAGUCUCAUGUAAUUAAAAAAAAAAUGUUUCAAAAUAGGAUUCUUAAAAGGUUGGGGAAAUGGCCAUCAAUAUCCCCAACUUUCCAAAAAGAGACACCAAGACCCAUUUUGACCAUAAUACCCUUUACUUCUAUUAUCCCCAAAAAAUUGACUCUAAUGUUUUAUAAUAAAUAAAAAUAUAACAUUAAAAUAAAUGUAAUAGUAUAUACAUUUUAAAAUAGUUUCAAUAUCUAAAAACCAUUUUAAUAUUUUAAAUCCUAUUAUAUAUAUAUUAAAGUAAAUUUUAUAAUAAAUAGAAUCAUAAUAUUGAAAUAAAUGCAUUAAAAUUUAAAUUAUUUUUAAUAUUAUGUAAAAUAAUAAUUUUAUCAUUAUAAGUAUAUGAGAAUUUUUUUAAUUGUAGAAUGUAUUUAAUGCAAAUAUUUAUUUAAAAUCUCUACAAUAAAUAAAAAUAUACUAUUAAAACAAAUCUCUACAAUAUAUACAUACAUACAUAUACAUUGGCCUGGUAUUUUAUUUUUCAUUUUUUAAACUUAUUAAAUCCUCUAACUAUCAUUUGAUUAUUUUUUUCAAUGAUGAAGAGGCCAUUGCCGGAUAAAUUAUUAAAAUCAACUAGUUCUACAAGAAUGUCCCUUUUUAAAGGAAGAUGAUUCUCUCUCUCGAAAUUUUUUAUCUUGUGCUACAAACUAAAAACUUAUGCCAUUUCAUUAACCACAGAGAUCUUUGAGGAAAUGAUGCUUCGCCCCCCCCCCCCCCCCCCCCCCCCCCCCCCCCCCCCCGCGGCGCCAAAAAGUGUCCUUCCAUAUUUUGUGAAGGCUAAUACAUCGAUGAAUCUAGAUUUCUUUAAAUUUUUUGUUUUACUCAAUUCGAGAUAAUAAAUAGUUUAUCUUUAUUAAAUCUUUACUUUAACAAUGAUAGAUAUUCAAUCCAUGCAAAUAUCUAUCAUUGUAUGAGCUGAUUGCGUGGAGGGAGCGGUAAUUGAAAUCUAAUUGAAAACAGCAGAAGGCUGUUCUUGACAGAUCUCAAAUAUAUUACGGACACGUUGGGAGACAUCUCUAUCAUAGAUAUCCCCAUGCAGUGAUAUUUGUCGUGAUCUAAUUUUUAGUAAAUCUGUAAGAGAGAUUGUAACAUCUUUCAAGUUUUUUGGUUUGAUAUUCUAGACGAAAACGGUUUGUCGUUUCUUGAGCAAACGGCUAACCGUUUAAGUCCAGAGAGCAUGUUUGUUGUUCUGGAUAAAACGGCUCACCGUUGUUGCGAAAACGGCUAACCGUUUAACUCAAGAGAGCAUGUUUUAUGUUCUAGAGAAAACGGCUCACCGUUAUUGAGAAAACGGCUAACCGUUUAUUUACAGAGAGCAACGUAUUUGAUAUUCUGGAAUAAAAUGGCUCACCAUUUAUUGAGAAAACGGCUAACUGUUUAUUUCCAGAAAGGCGUCAAUUAGAAAAACGGUUAGCAAGAAUGAAAAUUUCAAUUGACAAUCGAUGCAAAUUCAAACCAAAAGAGUGUCUUCGAAAAAGUACCAUUUCUAAUGGUUGUAUUCUUUCAAAUAAACAUCUUCUUCAUUAAAGAAAUACACACAAUUAGAUUGAUAAUCAGAUUUUGACAGGUUUCUUAUAUGUUCUGGAAAUACAAUCUUAUUUGCUAGAGAUUGUAUUCAGGAUUUGUUAUAUCUUGGGGGUAAUUUGCCAUUAAAACUAUAUAGCAAACCAAGAUUGGUGAGGGCAAAUAAAACCUUAAAGGAAAGUAUGCAAACACGUCUCAAAUCCUAUGAAACUUUCUUUGUUCUUUGCCUCCAUAUUCUUAUUAUUCACUAACAAAAUCCCCAUGCAGUGAUAUUUGUCGUGAUCUAAUUAUUAGAAAAAUCUAUGAUUUCGCUACUGUAAUAAAAUUUGUCACUACUCUACAUUAAUCUAAAUGUCUGAUGAGAUUUGUAAUUGCUUCCGACGGGAAAACAGUUAAUAGGUUGAUUGAAUGUAUGUGGUAAAGAUUCCACGUAUCUCACGACAGAAUGCUGACCACUGGAACCCUAUCUACUUUUACGCGAUUAAUUCACGAGCUUAGGCACGACAAUUGCAAUACAAAUUAUCCCUUCAUCAUAUAUUUCGUUAAAAUUCAUUCUGAAGCACUAAAACUAAACAAUCGAAUAUGGCUUUGAGGGUCGAUGAUGCCAGCAGCAAUGAGAGUGCAAUUAUCACUUGUUUAGUUUCUGUGCUUGCCGUGGCUUAUUUAGCAUGGAAUGUGAAAAAAUCAAGGAAAGCAAAUGCUAAACUGCCACCAGGACCUCGCGGCUUGCCUGUAGUCGGAUACCUCCCAUUUCUCGGGACUACUGACUUGCACAAGAAAUUCACGGAAUUUAUUUUACUAUUAUAUUUAUAUUCAAAAUAAUUUUAAUUAGCUUUUAAAAUGAAUGAUUUUAGGAAAUUAUAAAUAAAGGUAACUAAGAAUUCUCUUAAUGUAAUAUAUUAUUAAUUAGUUUAAAAAUACAAAUUUAUUAAUUAGAGAAAUUAUUAGUGAAUUUAAAUUAAUGAUCUUAAUGAUUUGUUUGUACGAUUGCCCCCAAUCAAAGGUAAUUUUCCUAAAAAUUAUUAGGAAAUUAGAGAAAUUUAAUUUUUUUAGUGGGUUCAAUUGCCCACACACCCCGACUGAAGCAUUUUUUACAAUAUGUACUCCGUUUGUCGGCAGGAAAAUAAAGGUCUUGACACAUGAUCACUUCACUCCUUUAUUUACUUUGCUAACGCAGAUUUUGAGGUAUUAAAACAAAUAAUAAUUGAAUAUGACUUUGUGGGUCGACGACGCCAGCAACGAGGAGACCGCCAAUUAUCACAUUUUAAGUUUGCUGUAAUUGCCGUUGUUUUAUAUUAGUAGAAUAUUAGUGAUAAGAUAAUUGUAGAGUUUUCAUUUUUUUAAUAUUAAAAUCAAGUCAAUUUAUUAUAAUAAAUUUAGUUGAAUUUAAUCGUAUUACCACAUAAAUUGAAUAAUAAUAGAAUUCUCGACAAUAUUUCAAUAUUUUAAUCUCAAGCAUUGGAGUGGCAUUUAUUUGUUAUACGGUCGAUUUUAGAAUUUAUAAAAUUAUUCGUUGCUGAAUUGCACCAUAUGCUGCAUAACCUGAAACUUAAUAAACGGAACGUAGCGUUGGCACCGUUACUCAACAUUCACUGUUACGACUUUGUGACAUUAGAAUUAAAAUCUUUUCCACAUUUAAUUUGUUUACUUCCAACUUAAUAUUUAACAAAAUGUAUGUUAGCAUUGUAUGCCAUAUCAUCUGUAAUUUUGUCAGGAUCGAUCAUUCUAAUUUUUAAGCAGAACUUUUUGUCAAUGGACAAACACCUCAUACAGCUUGUCAGAGGCAUUAGUAUGAUGUAAAAUUGUAAUGGUAUAUCUUGAAUUAUUUUAGAAUAGUGAAUAACUAUUUGGAGCAAUAAAAACAAAUAAGACAGAUGAGAAAAUGGCUAAAAUUAUAUAAGUGACCCAAAAUUUUUUGCUAUUUCCAAGAAAUCCCCAAUCUGAAUGGACCAGAGGGAGGCAAGUUAGAAAUACAUUUCCUUCAUAGACAAUAACAACGAUGAGUGGAUGACAUCAAACCACGUUGGUAUCAAUAUUGAAAUAAAGGUGCAAUUAUUCAGCCAAUGAGCCUUAGUACACAUCAAGAUAUAUAAAAGUCAAGAAAAUGAAAAUUUAUCCCAAUUAAAACUCUUUCUGGCUGCAUUUAGCUGUUUCUGUUUAGGGAUGGCAAUUUAAUCCGGACCCAGCCCGACCCGGAUGAAUCCAGAAAAUUCGGGGUGGAUUCAACCCGUACCGGAGUGAAUAAAAUCUGAUAUUCAAAUUCAAUAUUUUCAACCCGGACGUUUCCGAGUCCGGAUCCGGAUUUGGGUAAACCCGCAUAUCCGGAACCCGGAUCCGGAUAACUAUUUUAAUAUUAAUUUUUAAAUCAUUUUAAAAUAAAAAAAAAUUAGAAAAAAUCAGCCCUAAUGCCCUUCCACAGCCACGGCAGCCAAACCAAACCCAGACAUUUCCUCUCUCUCUCUUUAGCCCUUCUUUUCAACAAAUCAUCAUCGUUGCUCAUCAUCGUUUCGUCGUGUUCAUCUUCAUCUUCAUCAUCAGCUGCCGUUUGUCCAGCUAUGUCACUAGUUUUGGCCGCCGUUUCCGUUUGUGCACCUUCGCAAAUCGGGAUCUCGAUUUGGCCGCCAACACUUCUACCCCCUGGUGUUUUGCUUUGUCCUCGACAACUUCUUUGUUGAUAAAUUGACGGGCACUUAUGAAUGCAUUUGUCUCUGUUUCUUCAUUUACACCUUCCCAGUUGUUUGUUCAUUUGCUUUUUGGAAGGAAAAAAAAAAAAAAUCAGCCACCAUUUAUCCUUCCCCUUUUCUUGACCUAACCCCACAAAGCCCAAUUUGUCAUCAUCAUUCAUUGGCAAAUUUGUUAUCAUCAUGGUUGAGACAUCAUGAUUAUCUUUGAUAAUUGAAUUUGUGUAAUAUGUUACCUUGGAUUUUAUUUCUAAGUAUUUGAUUUUGAAUUAUUUUCCAUUAUUGGUGUUAAUAGAUAGAAGAUUAGAAAGGAAUUCUUCACUGAAUAAAGAGAUGGGAAAUUGCAUCUUUUAGCAAUCAUCCGGGUUAUAAACCCGGAAUCCGGAAACCAGGAUUUUUCCGGGUUUAACCCAGUCCGGACCCGAAUGAAAAAUAUCCGGGUUUACAUCCGGGUCUGGUAUUAAAAUUUAUCGUCCGGAUCCGGAACAGGGAAGACAAAACCCGGACCCGAACCCACAUUUUGCCAUCCCUAUUUCCAUUUGAAGUUAACAACAACGUUUCUUUCGUUUUGUGGGCGACUUGACUGAGCCAGCUGGAUUCUAGUGCUAGUAUGUGAAAAUAGAAGGCUAAUGAUUUCACGUUCACUAGCCCACCUCCCCUCCUCUCGUUUCCUCUGAAUCAAUUUUCACGUGUGGUACCGAUUGAAAAUAUCUCUGACAUUUCGUGGACAUCUCUAUUGAAAAUAUCUCAGACAUUUCACUCAGGCAAACUUAUUAAUAUAAAAAAUCUAUGAUUUUUUCGUCUUAUACUGUAGAAAAAUUUGUCUAUACAUUAAUCUAGAUGUUUGAGGUGGUUUAUACAUCUGUGGUAUAGAUUUAUAGGUUGAUUGAUACGUCUGUGGUAUAGAUUUUAUGUAUUUCAUUAUCAAAUGCUGGCCUUUGGGACCCUAUCUACAUCUAUUUAUAAAACUAACGGGUGCCAGUUAUGCCAUUACAAAUUAUCCCCUCUUCAUACAUUUCCUUAAAAUUCUUCUGAAACACCAAAACUAAAUAAUCGAAUAUGGCUUUGCGGGUCGAUGAUGCCAGCAACAAUGAGGCUGCAAUUAUCACUUGUUUAGUUUCUAUGCUUGCCGUGGUUUAUUUCGUAUGGAAUGUGAACAAAUCAAGGAAAGCAAAUGCUAAACUGCCACCAGGACCUCGCGGUUUGCCUGUAGUCGGAUACCUCCCAUUUCUCGGAACUACUGACUUGCACAAGAAAUUCACGGAAUUAUCCGGAGUUUAUGGUCCGAUCUUCAAGCUCUGGCUCGGAAAUAAAUUAAGUGUCGUGGUGAGCUCACCUUCCCUAGUUAAACAAGUGGUUCGUGAUCAAGAUACAACAUUCGCAGACCGUGACCCGCCGAUCUCAGGACUAGUGACCUCCUUUGGUGGCAAUGAUAUUACAUGGUCCAAUUACGGUCCCGAAUGGAGAAAGUUGCGCAAAUUUUUUGUGGGCAAGAUGAUGAGUAACGCAAGCCUUGAUGCUUGUUAUGCUUUAAGAAAACAUGAGGUUAAAAAUACUAUCAGGGAUUUGUAUAACAACGGCAACAAAAUUGGUAAGCCCAUUGACAUUGGUGAAUUGUCGAUUUCAACAUUGGUAUGUGCUAUGCAGAACAUGCUGUGGGGUGAAGCGCUUGAAUUAAAAGAGAAAGGGACAACUAAUCUUGGGGUUGAGCUAAAAUUUAAGUUUGCAGAACUCAUGGUGCUACUGGGAACACCGAAUAUUUCGGAUAUCUUUCCAAUGCUUUCUUGGCUCGACAUACAAGGUAUAGAGAGGAGAGCAAAGAAGAUUUCACUCUGGUUUGAAAAAAUUAUAAAUUCUACUGUUGAAAAGUAUAGAAGCAAGGACUUUAAUGUUGAAGGUAAAGAAAGAGCAGGGGAAAAUUUUGAAGGAUCAAGGAACAAGAACUUCUUGCAGUUACUAUUGGAGCUUCAAGAAAAUGAAGACGGUUCUUCCUCAAUUAGCAUGAACCAAUUUAAGGCCGUACUCGUGGUAUGUUAAGAAACUAGCCGCAAACAGUUAUACAAGCACAGCUGUAUAUUUUGCAUGAGUGAUAUUUUCAACCUUUUUUUUUUAUAAUUAGAAUUUUAUUGUAACCUUUUGGACAGGAUAUAAUUACGGCUGGAACCGACACCACAACUACGAUGGUGGAAUGGACAAUGGCAGAGUUGAUGCAGCAUCCACAAAUAAUGAAGAAAGUUCAGGAAGAAUUAGCUCAAGUUGUGGGCAUGGACAGUUGUGUUGAAGAAUUUCAUUUGCCUAAAUUGAAAUAUUUAGAUGCUGUGGUGAAAGAAUCGUCUCGUCUGCAUCCUGCAGUGCCUUUAUUACUACCACGCAGAGCAAGCGAGAGUGGCAGCAUUGGUGGCUAUAACAUUCCCAAAGAUACAACUAUUAUGUUGAAUGUUUGGGCAAUCCACAGGGACCCUAAACUUUGGGAUAAUCCCUUAGAAUUUCGACCCGAGAGGUUUCUAGAUGAUGGUAUCGCGAGUAAGUUCGAUUACUCAGGUAACAAUUUUCAGUACUUGCCAUUUGGUUCUGGUAGAAGGAUGUGUGCUGGGAUUCCUCUAGCUGAGAGGAUGCUGAUGUUUGUUUUGGCUUCGUUAUUGCACUCAUUUGAGUGGGAAUUGCCAGCUGGCACAAAGCUAAACUUAUCUGAAAAAUUUGGGAUUGUCAUUAAGAAAAAAGAGCCUUUAGUUGCUAUUCCAACACCAAGACUAUCCAAUUCAGAGCUCUACCAUUAAGACAGAAUGGUUGUGAUGAUUUUGUUAAUUUCCGAAGAUUUGUAUGUUAUGUCAAGUUCAAUCGUAAUAAAAUAUUUCAAAUAAGAGUCCUCCGUUGCUUUUUUUUUUUUUUUCAACCGCAUAAUCUGUCGUCAUGCUUGUAUUUGGGGCUACUUUGGAAUAAUUAUGUUUGAAUUACAAUAUAUAAAUAUUACAUUUUAAAAUUUUAUGAGAUUCUAAAUUUAUACACGUUCAAUA